UUAUUGUUUCUCUUUUUAUUCUUCCAUCUAAUUAGGGUUUCUUCUUCAUAUCCAUUCUAACACCACACCACCAAUAACAUGAGGGCUAAGGUAACAACAACAUCUUCAACUCUCUCUAUCCCUUAAAAUUGUUGUUGAAAUUGAUAUAUUGUGUGAUUUCUCUAUCUUUUAAAAUUGUUGUUAAAAUUGAUAUAUUGUGUGAUUUGUUUGUUUGUUAUUUGAUUUAUACAACAGUGGAAGAAGAAGCGAAUGAGGAGAUUGAAGAGGAAGCGUCGAAAGAUGAGACAGAGAUCCAAGUAGAUUGAUCGAAAUCAAAGUUUUAUGUUUUUGUUUUUGUUUUAGAUCGGCUUAGGUAUCGGUAGAUAUAUGUAUCGGUAUCGGAGUUUUCUUUUUAGCUCGGAAACGAUUUCACCUUCGGUUGAUGAGUCGGAAUAGCUACCAAAAUAGUGGUUUUAUGUUUAUCGUAAUUUGUAUCGGAUUUUAUGGUUUUUUCGUAAUAUCGGAAGAAUCGGAUUAGUAGCUUAUGGUUAUUUGGCUUAAUGUUUGAUUUGAUUAAUUAGUUUGAUUUAGUUUUUAACUUUUUAUUAAAUAGAGAAGAUAGCAUGGCCUGAGAUUAAGAUUAGUUUCAUAAUUCCUUUAUUCAUGAUUUGCCCCUUGUAUGCGGUUUUUAUUUAAGCAAUUUUUAUCACUAGAAUUAGUCAUGCUUUCACACUAAAAACCUUCACAUGAUAGUUGCCUAUAGUUUUUAUCUGCUUGUAAAGUUGUAUGCCAUGGUCUAUUAUGGAUUGAAUGGUCUAAAAGUUUGAAGCAUGUUUCAAACUUCUGAUGUACUUAGUCCGAUAUGGUCAUGGGAAUAUAGGAAUGUUAUGGUAGUUCUUGUUGUUUCCGGCUUGCUUGUUAAAUGUUGGUUUAUUGCAUUUUGUUGUUGUUGUAGAAGACACAAUAUUGUAGUGCCUGUUUAGGCUGUAUCAUAAUGCAGGCAUACAUUAUCUGAGCCUUUCUGCAAGCCUUACUCUUUGCCAUCAUAGAGUUUGUAUUUUAUGUUUCCUGUUAGGUUUGAGGCACAUUCGCUGAUAACACCUUGAGUUGGCAUACUGCCCUACCAUGUCAAGGUUUGGAAAUAAAGAAAACCUUUAAGCAUGUUUUUGUUUCUAAAUGUUGCAUUGUACCGUUUUUGUAUAGAGGAGUAAGGAGGUGCAGUUUUUACUUCACCGAUGUGCCUAUUCUUACUCCGGGAGUACUGUUAAUUUCUAUUACUUGUGAUGCUGGCAAACAUGCCUUGUUAGUUGUUACAAUGGAUUGGAUCCAUCUGUGAUUAAAUGUGAUUUGUUAAGCUAUGGAUGGGCAGAAUUGGUUGUCAUUUGGUUUGCUAAAAUGCUAAGUACUGUACUUUAAACAGUUCCUAAGAGCAAUCCCAAUGGGAGGGCAGUUUGGUGCCCUCCACGUAGGUGUAGGUUUGGGGAUGACUCUAGUUAUUAGGUGGUAAACAUUUGUAUUUUUGCAACCCAACCAACCCAACAAAGCAGGGCCUAUAGCAACUUAGAGCAUUCCCAAUGGAGGGUGGAUAAAUCCACCUCUACGUAGGUGCCACGUAGGUCCACCUAGGCAAAAUCCACCUCAAAGAGAGAGGUGUAUUUGCACUUGGGUGGUAGUUUCCCAACGCAGAGUGGACUCUUUGGUAUAGAAAGUGGAUUUUUUUAAAAAUCCGGACGGCAUGUCACAUGUCGUCCCAUUUUUUUUUGCAAAAAAAUAGGGAGACGGCAUGUCACAUGCCGUCCGAGAGUCCAAAAUUUUAAAACACUACUUAAAACUUAAAAAAACAAACGGAUGCCGUCCGAGAGUCCAAAAAUUUUAAAACACUACUUAAAACUUAAAAAAACAAACGGACGGCAUGUAAGGAUUUAUCCACCUUCAAAUCCACCUUCAAAUCCACCUUCAAAUCCACCUUCAAAUCCACCUGUGGGCAGCCCACCUCCGAAAUCCACCUCCCCUUGGGAAGCUCUUUUUGUCUACAAGGUGGAUUUAUCCACCCCACCUCCAAAAUCCACCUUGCAUUGGGAAUGCUCUUAUGUGUUUCAUUUUGAUGAAUAGGUCUAAUAACAGUUGGGUUUUUAUACUUUUUAUGUUUCUCUAGCCAGUCUUAUUCGCAGUCUUAAGUGGCCAUUGUCUUGUGUGCCAGAGUAGCACACUGCGUGAAUAACCUUGAGAUGAUAGUGGGAGCAUAUGCACUGGGGUACAACAGUAAAUCUUUUUAUUUGAAUGCACAAUGUAGCUUAGGACACAAUCAACUCACUUUAUGUCUCUAUCCAUAGUCGUGCAAUUGUGUAUACGGAAUAAUUCUAUGCUUACAAACUUUUUUCACAAACUACCUCCACAAACUGAUGGGGAUUCAACCGAUAAAUAAAUCAGAAUUUUCUUAUGUACUCUUUUUUAGUUCUUUCCAUGAAACCGAAACUCUUUUGCAAGCAUCUCUCUUCUCUCUUUUUUUUUUUUUUUUUUUUUGUUAUUUUUUUAAUUAUAAUUAAUAAACUCAACGAAUUACACAAAAGUAGAGGACAAACGCGCUACAAACUGCGCGGAAAGUCCAUUCUGGAUAGCAAACUCGAUUCUCCUAAAUACAUAUUCGUUCAAACCUGCAGUCAUCACGUUACUUUUUUUUUGUGUGGAGUUAUUUUAUUUCUCACUAGUCCAGAAUUUGAAAAUAAAUAUCUUAUUAAUCCCAUAAUCAAUUUUAUACGAUAUUAUUAAAUCUUUCAUUGGUAUAAUAAAGGAAGAAGAUGAUUUUAUCUCGAAAACUUGUGAUAAAAGGAAAGAACAAUGGGUGCUUAGGGGUAAUUUACCUCUUUAAUUAUUUCAUUAACUCUACCCUAACUGGUGCUUAGGGGUAAUUUAUAAAUCUCACUAAUAAAUUUUUUUUAUUCUUCACACAAUUAGGAAAAUCCUUUUGAUUUUGAUUCAUUCCUAAAACAAUAUUCAUAUUAACAACCAAUUUUUUUUUUCAAUUUCCUCUAGUUUUACUACUAUUUAUAUCUAAAAUUUUAAAAAUAUUGACAAUGAUUAUUCAAUUAUUCAUUAAAAUAAAAAAUUGACAGAAGAUUGAUCAUGUUUAUUUUGCAAGAGUUCCCAUUCCUGAUGCACAAUGAUUUUCGAGUCUAUACUGUUAUAAUCUUAUGAGUUCCUUAUAUAGUGGGGAAAAAAAAAGAAUGAGACAGAGUAAGAAUCAAAACAUAACUUGUUAGAUAUUUUGUAUAUUCUUUAUUUUCUUAUUUGUAGGUGGAUAUACAAAUUUGUAAAGAUAUUAAUUAAUUAUUGAUAACAACUGUAUUUAUAUAUGUAUGGUUAUUGAGGAUAAUUAAGUAAACUUUGAAAAUAAUCAUUGGCAAGAUCAAUUUUGCUCUUGGCAAAAUCUGGAACCUUAAUAUUAGACAAACUACUAAACAAAAGAUUUUUGAAAAUUUGAAGAAGAGAAUGCAUGUAAUAUAUAUUAGAAUUUACAGUUUUAGUUUGCUAUAAUUUGAGUAAGAGUGAAAGCUUGGGUGAGAGAGAGAGAGGGAAAAAAAGUGUGUUUUUUUUUUUUGUGAUGAGAUCUGACGCAAAAUUUUUAAUUACGUGGACAAACCACCUCAGUUGACACGUUUGUUUGUAGAAGAAGUUCGUGGGGUUUCUUAGUGAGAGCAUUCCCAAUGGUAAAAGGCUUUUAGGGGUGCCACAUAAGAGAGAGGGAGAAGGUUUUUAGGAUAGACUUGAUAUUAAAAGUAAUUUAUGGUUUUAGAGUUGCCAAUGGUUGAGUGUUAAAAGCUUAAAAUUUCACUUUCCCAAAGACAUGAUGGCUGUGCUUGUUUCCCCGGAAGUUAUGGGGAAACGAAAACGGAAAGAUUUUAAAUUUUAAGAAAGGUAACAAAUUUUCAAAACUUUCCAUUUAUAACCAGGAUUGUUGCUUGAUUACCAGAUCAAUAAAAAAGGAAAAAAAAGACGUGGCGAGAUUAUAAGCUUUGGGGACCGGUGGGGACCAUAAAUUAGAGACGUGAUUUUCUGUUUUGCAUAGAUUUCCUGGUUUAUCAAAACUGCAAUUUUUGCUGACGUGUUUUACAUUUUAAAAACCUUUUUACAGUGGGACCCAUAUCAACUGAAAUCACCAAGCACCUGGAAAAACAAAAAAUCAGCAAAUCGCUGACGUGGUUUUCCAUUCCAGUUUUUUUCCUAGAGAACAAGCACGGCCGAUGUAUAAAAUUUAACUUUGAAUUAACUAACUAAUCCUAUGUGGCACUUUUAACUCUCGGCAAAUUUGCCAAGGAGUUAAAAGUAUUUUGUUUGAAAAAUGUGUUAAUAUCAACCAUUGGCAAAAGUUUUUUACUAAAAGUUCUUAAAAGGAAUUUAAAACCUACCGUUGGGAAUGCUCUGAGUGUAGAAUUACUCAAUAUUGAGCGAGUAUGCAAGGAUAACACGUGUUGUUUUUGAAAGUCACAGUGGAUUGUUUGAUGCUUAGAUAUCUCUUUUUCGACACCUUAAAUACUCAAGUUGAUUAUUAGAUAUCUCAUUGUUUUGGAAUUCAUCAGUGGUCCUACCUCAAGACGUUCCUUGUUGUAAUAUUGUACUUGAAAAUGAAGCCACGAAGGGAUAUACGUUGUAUAUCUAUUUUCUAUAGUGACUUUGAGACAAAAUUUCCUAAACUUUUUGAAAACUAUCUUUAAUUUUAAAUGUCAGAUUAGAUGAAUGAAAAUGUGCAUAAUUGACCAACGACAUCUUUUUGGUUAUGAAUCUGAGUUUUAUUCCAUAUCAAAUUAAUGACAGGCCCAUAUACACGUCGAACAGAUUCGCAUACACUAAUUUACAUUGAUAAGGUGUCUUUUUUAUUAAAAAAUUAUUUUCUAUUCCAUCUCUUUGUAAUACAUUGAUCUUAUUGUUUAUUGUUUGGUAAUUUGUUUUUUCAGUAUUUUGAGUAUAGAGGAGUUACCUUAAUCUACUACCUUUGGAGUAGCUCGGCCCCGCUGAGGGGUUGGGCCACGUCUGCACCCUGCUAGUUCAGAUGCAAGCCUUUAUUUCAAAGGUUGUCUUUGCAUUCUUCUUUUUUGAACUGGCAGGAGUGCAGGUGUUGAAACCCGGGUUUGACUGAAUUGGAAAAUUAUCCUUCUGAAUCUUCCUGCUCCAUUUUGUCAAUCCCGGUUGAGUGGAUGUGUCUUUCAUCCACAUGGUUCUUGCAUUUGAAUUGCUUGGCCAAGCUCUUUGACAGAGCCUGAUGAUAACGAAAAAAAUGAAAAGACUUGCCUUGACUUGGAAGUAUUGCCGUGGUUGUAAUUAAGGUAUGUGCCAAAGUUUUCAUAGCCUCUUUUUGCAUUACCUUCUUUUGUUAUCAGUUUUGGUUUUAAUCGCAAGCAUGUUGAUGGAUUUGAUGCUAUUCAUUUUCAGUGACUAGGUACUGCUUAGUCUCUCUGACGCUGCACAUGGACAUUAUACAACUAAUGGAGAUUCGUGCACUUUGAGCUUUGGUGCCUUGGUGGAAUACGUGUUACUACCAGAUCUUUGAGCUUUAAGAUGAAUACUUGAUUGCUAUUGGAAUUUUUGACCUAAAUACAUAUUCCAUGGAAAUUUAUGUGCUGCCUCACCUUUAUAUAUAACUUCCUAGACUCCUAGCAUAAAGAUUUGGAACCUGAAUAGAACAUUGUGUAUUUAUUUGUAUGAUCCCAUCAAUGGCAGCUACUUCAAAAUUGCAGUAUGACUUAGUUCCGUGUUUUUUUUUUCACAAUGUUUUGUUUGCCAAAUUGUUGUCGCAAAUGACAGAACUACUUAAAAGUCGUUGCAAGGUGUCAUUUUGAUUUGAUUAUUUAUUGUUUUUUACAUGGAAAUGGUAGUGGGUUCUUCUGCAGAGUUUGUUGUAGAUGGCUAUAGUAUAAAAUGUGCAGUGGAAGUAUCUGUUGUGCGUAGUGGAAACUUAAACACAACUAAUGAUGAUUGAACUAGUGUAUGAAAUAAAAUAAAACGAUAAAAUCAAACGAACAACCACACAGGACACAAGAUUUACAUGGUUCGGCAAUAUGUCUAUAUCCAUGGGGAGAAAGGAUAAUGUUUUUCUUAUAAAGAUAAGAGCUAAUUAGUGAUACCCCCCGGAAUUCAAGGCAAAAAAAGGAACCCCCCCCCCCCCCCCCCCCCCCCAACUCCAAAAAGAUUUGUGUUACCCCCCCCAAAUUAUUUUCUGGUGAAAAAUAGACUUGAACUGCCAUAAAUACCCUUAUGCCACAUCAGACUUUUAAUUUGACCUAAACCAUUGCUGACGUGGCAUAGAUAAGAUAUUAUGGGCUGGGUUUAGAUAUGGUAUAGAUAAGAUAUUAUGGGCUGGGUUUACGCACAGACCCCUGUGCGUGCAUAUUCACAUAGUACAGAUUAAGUGGACAAGGGCCAAGUGAAGCAAUGGGUUAGCUAAAAGGUGAACAAAAAUGAAGAAAGUAUGCACUAGUCGGGGAUUUCGGGCAACUCUUUUUGUUAUUAGUAUUCCAGGUAUACAGAGAACCUGAAAUUAUGGUAGGUGAGUGUGUCAGUGGUGCAUGACUCUGCUAUGUCAAAAUAGAAACCCAUAGGCACGACUGAUAAGUUCCUAAAAACAAAUACUAAAACAACCCAUAAGUAAUAAUAAGUAAAAAACACACGAUAUUUUUAAAGUAGUAAAAUCCAAUAUGGGAAACGUUCAUGGUUGUUCUCGCGAUAAAAAAUAAUUCUACUAGAUGAAAAAGAUAUACAAACUAGGGAUGAGCACGGUUUGGUCGGUUUUGACCAAAACCGAAGCCAAACAGCCUAACAGGUGUUUUGGAAUAAACACAAUCGAAAUCAAACGUGUUGUUUCCCAAAAUCGAACCGAACCGAUCAAAAUAUGUAAAAACCGAAACCGAACCGAACACGUAGUUCAGUUCGGUUAACCGAAUCAAAACCGAACACCUUUUAAGUUGGGCUGAAUUAACUUGGGCUUAAGUAUAAAGACUAACAUGGGCUGAAUUAACUUGGGCUAAAGUGCUAAACUAAAGACUAAUAUGUUUGGUUCGGUUUUAGGUGUUGAAAAUUUUCUAAAACCGCAACCAAACACCCUAACAGGUGUUUUGUAAAAUUUCAAACACCAGCCAAACACUUAAACACCUAAACACCUUCAAAAGUGUUCAGUUCGGUUGUGUUCGGUUCGGUUCUUCGGUUUUGGUCUGGUUUUGUUUAGCCUUAGUACAAACCUAUCAACUACCUGCAAUCACUGUGAAUUGACACUACUUGUUAUCUCUAACACCUUGACUUCACUAGAGUACCUUGAUGUAAGCACAAGACACUCGACUUCUUGAUGAACACACAAGAAGACUCGAAGCCGAACUAUGAAUAAGUUUACACCAGAGUUCCUUGAUGAACACACAAGGAUACUCGACUUCUUGAUGAACACAGAAGAAGACUCGAAGAUAAAUCACUAUAAAAAAAUAAAGAAAGAUGAAUUGGGGAAGGAUAAAAAAUAGAAUUACACAAGGAUCGAUUGAGGAAGAAGAUGAUCUUUGUGGAAGAGCCGACAAACAAAUUAGGGUUCUAUGGAGGCUAGGUUGGAACUCUUACUUUUCCCAUAACACCAAUGCCAUAUUUAUAAUCUAGGGUAUGUACGUACCUCCUAACAUGGUACGUACAUUCCUGAACAAACUGCAACCUAACAUAGCUUAGAAGGAUGAGAAUGAAGACAUAGGGACGACGCUUACACAUCAAGGUACUUCCUAAUAAUGUCGUCAAGGUGAGAUAAUUCCAGAUACUCCUAACCUAAUCACAAAAUGAUGUCAAACAACCGAAUGUCGGUUUCAUGAACUUGAACUCAGACUUCUACUAGUAUGUCCUAGCCUCCUAGUGAUACCUCAAUGACUGAAUACAUGUAAAAAAUAACUUUGCACUCAAGUUUUGAAGAAAGAAAGUACAUAAAGAUUGAUAUUGUAAGUACCAAACCAUGCUAGGUGGAGUAUUGAGGACACAGGAGCUAGAUAAGGAGAGCAAACUGGGAAGUACCCAAUCGGAGUUCAGAACAUUCUAGAGUAUCACGGAUAAAGCACGUGAUGUCUGGCUGUAAAGCAUUCACUGUAUAGUAUGUGAUGGAGAAUGAAACACGUAGGAGAUAAUAGAACCAUAGGAUGCAAAGGAGGAUCCAACGGUUCAAGGAAGGCGGUGAAUAUUGCUAUAAAAGGAUCACGUUAGGGUUCGCUAAAAGGUAACUGUUCAUUCUUUGCUAAAAACCUAUUCUCUAAACCUAGCCGCUUACUGACUUGAUCGUUGGAGCUUUAUCCACCGGUCAUUGUCCGGUGGUCAUUGCAGGUACUACCGUUGAAGCAGUUGAAGGACCCAGCUGAGCUCAUCAAGGAAAGUGGGCUUACAUUUGGCGCUAGAAGAAGGGCCACUUUGCUGCUUCCAGAUCUAGGGUUUUGGAGAAGAAGGUUGAAAGAAGAAAGUAGAGAGCAAUGGUAACACAAACUAGAUCGUCGACAUAUCUCGGAGGUGUAGCAGCUGGAGAUGUUCCGCAAGUUGUUCAUCCUCAAAAUCUCCAAGAUGGAGACGAAGAUACAAACAGAUUGAGAGAAGAGAACUUGAGACUGAGGGAGCAGAUAAGAAGGAUGGAAGAUAUGGAUCGUCAAAAUCUUCAGGAAGGAGAGAACGAAGCAGUCAGAAAUGAAAACCAUCAGAGACCAUUGGAGAGGGUAAUACUAGGAGAAGGUGAAGGAGGAACAAGGCGUCGGAUUCCGGGCCUAAGAGUGAAUGAAGAAGAAGGGUCAGGAGAAUCAGGGGUAAGAGCUCGCGAAGGGAGUCGAAGGGAAGGGAUGAAUGAUGAAGAGAUCCCGGCGGCAGAUCAAUACACCAGACUUUUCGAUAUGAUAUGCAAGGUCCAAGAGGACAUGAGGGCGCAGAACAAGGGAAAGAACAUGGAGGUGACUCAGGAUCUGGAGAGAUUGGGCAAGAGGCCAUUAGCCGAAGUGUGCUACCGUCACGGGUUCCCAAGUAAGUUUCAACCUCCUAAGUUUAAUGAGUAUGAUGGAACAACUGAUCCUGUGCAGCACUUGAAUAAUUUCAAGCAAAAAAUGGCGGCUUGGGAAGGGAGCCAGUAUGACGGAAUGUGGUGUCGACUGUUCCCUAGCAGCUUGAAGGAUAACGCUACAGACUGGUAUCUCAGCUUAUCACCAGGGAGUGUAUCAAGCUUUGCUCAGCUCAGUGAGAUGUUUGUCAAGCAUUAUAUUCAUCAGAAAAGACAGGCUGCAGAUAUAGCGUCACUAUUUGAUUUGGAACAAGCUCCAGGUGAGUCUCUUAGAAAGUUUGUUACUAACUUUAAAAAUGAGAUUUUGAGAACAGAUGGCGGAGUAGAUGAAAGAACAGCUGUGGUAGCAUUUCAGAAGGGUAUAAAUAAGAAGUCUCCUGCAUAUGACUCGAUUGUGUCAUCACGGAUGGCGACUCUGGAUGAACUUUUCCAGAAGACGGAGAAAUACAUCAGACUAGAGGACAUAGCAUCACGGAGAGCUCCAAAAGUGGUACCGGCAUCCGUUAACUCGGUGGCGGAAAAAAGUAAAAAAGGGAGAAGCUAGCUCACGAAGUGAUUCGCCACCAAGAGAUUCCGGCUCUAGGAGGAACAAAGAUGGAUCGAGAGGUCACGACAAAAGAGAAAGGAGGGAGGAUAGAGAUACUUCACCAAGAAAGUUGAUACCACCGAAACCGCUACCGCAACUCACAAUGUCACUAGAUCAAAUUUUGAAGAGAAUAAGAGGAAGAAAGUACUUCCAGGAGCCGUCGGUAAGAUGUAGAACAGUCAGGGGAAAGCCAUUCUGUGAGUAUCAUCAGACUUACAACCACCCUACUGGAGAUUGUUAUGAGUUCAAAUCCUUGAUAUGGAAAUGGAUGGAGGAGGGCCAUUUGAGAGAGUUUAUAGUGGAAAAGAACAAGGAGGAAGACAAAACAGAAAUUCAAGUCAGAGGGACCGUUAACAUGAUCUUAGAAGGAGCUAGAGAAUCCUUGAACGAGGUCAGGAGGAAGAUAAGAAGAGUGAUGCAGAUAAGAGAAGACUUACAAACAGUCGGAGCCGUUCCAGUCAUGCGAAAUGGCAGACCAGUGCAUCAGAGUGAGUCGAUUGGGUUUUCAGAGGAAGACCUCAAAGGAGUAGUCACACCACACAAUGACCCAUUGGUCAUUUCCAUACUCAUUGGAAAUUGGAAUGUCACGAAAGUGUUAGUAGAUUGUGGAAGUGAGGUAGAUGUUCUGUUCACCAGGGGCUUGGAUCAAAUGAAACUGGAGAGAGGUAGCUUGGCAAAUUCACCUGGAGACAUUUACGGAUUCAAUGGGGGAGCAGUGCGGCCAGUUGGAGAGAUAGUCUUACCGGUUACAGCACACACCAGAACCGUCAUGUCGAGAUUUGUGGUCAUAGAUGCUCCAACAGAGUACAAUGCAAUCUUGGGAAGAGAAUGGAUUCAUCUUAUGAAGGCAAUUCCGUCAAGUUACUAUCAGAAGAUCCGUUUUCCGACUGAAGAUGGACAAUAUGAGAUAAGGAGCAAUCAGGCUAUGGCCAAGAAUUUGAAGAUAGCAACAGUAAAAAGUAUGAGGCAUGGCACAGCAGGUGCUGGGCCGUCAUCUAUCCCUGCAUAGCAACGACAGAAGGAGGGUGACGGGUUCCCGCGUGAAGUGCUAAAGACAGAAGAACAAACGGAACCCGUCAACCUCAAUGAGGUAGGGGAUCAGCGGAUCACCUACAUGGGAACCAACUUGGAUGAGAAGGUGAGGUUUGAUCUUUUACAAUUCUUAAAAGAUAAUAUGGAUGUAUUUGCUUGGUCUAUGAAUGAUAUGACAGGGAUCGAUCCAGACGUAGCAUGUCACAGAUUGAAUGUCAAUCCAAGUUUCAAACCAGUCGCGCAGAAAGUGAGAACAAUAAAACCUACACUGGCAGAGGCAAUAAAACAAGAGAUCGAGAAGAUGGAGUCAGCUGGAAUAACAAGAGAAGUUCAGUAUCCAGAGUGGGUAUCUAACAUAGUGGCGGUUCCGAAGAAAAACGGAAAGGUUCGGAUCUGUAUAGACUUCACAAACUUAAACAAAGCAUGUCCAAAAGAUAGAUACGUCAUGCCAAGGGUGGAUGAGCUAGUGGACAGAACAGCAGGCUUUGGGUUACUGUCAUUCAUGGAUGGCUAUUCCGGCUACAAUCAGAUUCCUCUAUAUGGUCCAGAUCAGGAGAAAACGGCCUUCUAUGCUGGUAAGAAAACUUUAUGUUAUACCAAAAUGCCAUUUGGUUUGAAGAAUGCAGGAGCUACUUAUCAGAGGCUGGUAGAGAUGAUGUUCGAAGAUCAGCUGAGGAAGACGGUAGAAGUAUACAUUGAUGAUAUGUUAGUCAAGUCCAAAGAGCCGGAGGAUCAUCUAAAGGACCUGGGAGAAACCUUCCAGACACUGCGUCAGUUCAAUAUGAAGCUUAAUCCAGAAAAAUGCACUUUUGGAGUACAGUCAGGAAAGUUCCUUGGUUACAUUGUUACCAAGAGAGGAAUAGAGGUUAGUCAAGAGCAGAUCAGGGCACUCACGGACAUGGCGUCACCAAGAACACAGAAAGAAGUGCAAGUACUGGCUGGCCGAAUUACGGCAUUGGGAAGAUUCAUAUCAAGAUCCACAGAUAAAUGCAAGCCAAUUUUGAAGCUCUUGAGAAAGAAUUUAUCUUUUGCUUGGAAUGAUGAAUGUGAAGAAGCCUUCCAGAAGUUGAAAGAAUACUUGAGUAGACCACCAGUUCUGUCAAAGCCAUUUCCGGGGGAGACACUCUAUGUUUAUCUAGCAGUGUCGGACAUUGCAGUAAGUGCGGUCUUGACCAGAAGGGAGGCCUCAAAGGAGAGCCCAGUCUAUUUCCUCAGCAAGAAGAUGACUUCACCAGAGACAAGGUAUUCUAGAGUGAAAAAGUAUGCCCUCGCUUUACUAUUUGCAGCUCAAAGAUUAAGACCUUAUUUCGAAGCUUAUAGUCUGACAGUGGUUUCAAACCUCCCUCUCAAUCAAGUGAUGCCAAAAAUCGAGCGUUCUGGAAGAAUGGAAAAAUGGGCAGUUUCAUUGAGUAAAUAUCACAUUCAGUAUGAGCCCAAGAAGGCGGAAAAAUCACAAGUGCUGGCGGAUUUCUUGGCAGAUUUCCCAGUGGAGGAUGUAAUCAAGGGUGCAGAAAUGCAAGAGGAAGAGCAGCUAGAGUAUCUAGAAGUUCAAGAUACCGGGUGGAAAAGCGUCAAAGGAUGGAAGGUGUUCACCGAUGGGUCAGUAAAUAAAGGAAGAUCAGCAAUCGGGAUAGUAGUGGUAACACCAGAGGACACUAAGAUCGAGAUCGCAGAAAAAUUAGCCUUUCCGGCUACCAAUAAUGAGACAGAAUACGAGGCGGUGCUGAAAGGUUUGGAAGUAUUGCUGAAGUUAGAGGUAAAGGAGGUUACGGUUUUCACAGACUCGAAAUUGGUGGUGGAACAGUUCAAUGGAACAUAUAAAGCUCAGACUGGGAAGAUGAUGUUGUACUUGGAGGCAUUGAAGAGGAGUGUAGCAAAGUUCUCGAAAGUUGAUAUUGUACAUCUGUUUAGGGGAGAGAACCGGCAUGCUGAUGCAUUGGCUUACCUGGCAACGGCAACAGAAGAGAAUUCAACCAAGACUAUAACGUUCAUGCAAAGAUCUCAGCCAAUGAUAGAGGUGAAGGAAGUGACUGUCAACCUCAUUCAAAACUUGGGAGCAAGUUGGAUGGACCCAAUAAUAACCCACUUAAAAGGUGGUUCUCUUCCGAAAGACAAAGCAGAAGCUAGAUCGAUUGUGGAGCAAUCCAAAAGGUAUGCAAUGAUAGGGGAAGACCUGUAUAGGCGAUCACCAACUGGACCGUUAUUGAAGUGUGUACACCCAUCCCAAACAGAAGGAGUCAUGGCGGAAUGUCACAAUGGAAGUUGCGGCAGUCACUCACCGGGACGGGCCAUGGCACACAGGAUAAUGAUUCACGGGCAUUACUGGCCAAGUAUGUAUAAAGAUUGUUGCAACUAUGCUAAGAAAUGUCAUGGUUGUCAGAUUCAUGGGAGACUCAUACAUACCCCAGCUGAAAACCUUCACUUUAUAAGCAAUCCGUGGCCCUUUUCGAUGUGGGGAAUUGAUAUUGUGGGAAAACUGGAGAAGUCACAGGGAAGAGAAUAUUUAAUUGUGGCCACAGAUUACUUUACGAAGUGGAUUGAGGCAGAACCUUUACGAAGGAUCAGGGAGGUAGAUGUCAAAGAUUUUAUCUGGACCAACAUCAUCUGCAGGUUUGGCUUACCAAGGGCUAUAGUAGCAGAUAACGGUGCUCAAUUCCGUGGAGAGGAGUUGAAAAAGUUUCUGGCAAGUUAUAACAUAAAGCAACUCUUCGCAACACCAUUUCACCCACAAGGAAAUGGGCAGGCGGAAGCAUCAAACAAGGCCAUACUGGAGGUACUGAAAAAGAAGCUUGAGGAUAAAAAAGAAAAAUGGUAUGAGAAUCUUUGGGAAGUACUAUGGGCAUACCGGACGACUCCAAGAAGGUCCACAGGGGCAACUCCAUUCUCCCUCACUUAUGGGAUGGAAGCUGUGAUACCACAAGAAAUGUUGGUACAUACGGCUAGAAGAAUGGUGGUCGAUCUAGGGAAGAAUAAUGAGAUAAUAGAGAGAGAGCUGGUCUUAGCUGAGGAGGUCCGGGAGCGCGCCAAGCUCAGAUUGGAGGGCUAUCACCGCCAACUAGAGAGGACAUACAACAAAAGAGUCAAGCCAAGAAGCCUAGUUCCAGGGGAUCUCGUGUUAAGAAAACAGAAUCCGCCUCCAGCCAAACUAGAGCCAAACUGGGAAGGGCCUUUUGUGAUAGACAAGGCGGGAGCGAAUGGAGCAUACUACUUAACCUACCAAGACGGUACCCCUCUUGAUAAGCCAUGGAGUAUCAGCAAUCUAAAGAAAUACUAUGCCUAGAGGGCAAAGAUGUAUUAGAGCAACAACAGUAGACAGUAUGUACCUAGAUUUGUUUGAAUUUCAAUGAAAAUAUAAGAUUUUGUUGUUAUUGACUUAUCUAGUUAUAUAUAUAUAGCACUAUUGUCUGAGACCAGGCCAAAGGUCAGACAUAGAAGAAACCCAACUAAGGUUGGUGGGAAAUAACAUAAGUGUAGACUUGGCAGGGCAAGCCGUUAACUAAAUGUUAAAGUCUCUAUAUGAUUAUUUCUUCCCCAUUGAGUUUGAUUUAGACAAUACAGUGGGGUGCCUCUAAAAGAGAAGAGCAAUAGUGCUAGUGUGUUAACGGGGUUGCACUUGCUGAACCGUGACGACGGGAUCAGUAGAAGUAUAGCCUAAUGUUAGCACAUGAGAAACCAAUGCCAGAAGAUAACAAUAAUUGAUAGCAAUUAUAAAAGUUUGCAAUGUUGGAAGACUUUCGUCAAAAUUAAAAAUUAAUCAAAUUACAACUCAAGGCAAGGAGUCUCGGGUGGAAGCGCUAGGAGGCGUUAUCCGCAUUUUCUUGGCAGAAAGAAUAGCGGUUAAGUUUUCCUUCACUUGAGCCUUCACUUGCAUGGCAAGUUGCUCUUUGAAUUUCGCCUCCAUCUCCUCGUAUUUUGAAUUGUAAUCAGCCAGGAGAGUUUCUCUUUGCUCCCGUAGGUCGGCCAGAUACUGCUGAUAGUCAACAUCAUGAGCGGCUUCGAGUUCAUUUAUUUUCACUAAGCUGUCAGCCCAUUUCCCCUCCAACCUUGCUACCACGGUGGCAUGAGCAGCAUCAAGGGCAGCAAUACGCUCACGGUGCUCACCCUCAAGUGCAGCAAUGUGAUUACGGUGCUCACCCUCAAGUGCAGCAACGCGCUCACGGUGUUCACCCUCAAGCCUUUUCCGGUUCUUCUCGAUUUCAGCAUCACGAGACGCGGUUGUUUCUUUCAGUUGAAUCUUAAGUUGCUCGAUCUCGGCUUGAAGAGCCCAUUUCUCGCGAACUAGUCGAUUCUUAUCCACUGUAAUGUCGUGCUUCUCUUUUACAAGAUUUUCUUUUUCCAGCCUAGAAGCAUUUGAAAAAGACUUGACGACGAGACCGUUAACCUACAAUUCAAUAGAAAAGUUAUAGUCCAAAAAAAAAAAAAAAAAAAAAAAAAAAAAGAGAAGAGGGGAGACUUACGAGAGCUAGACCACGGAAAACUGUAUCUCGGUCCUCACCAAAGUUCAUCUGAUCAAUUUUAGCUUGAUCAGAAGGAAAAAUAGAAUUGUAGAUAGCGGCGAAAGCAGUUGCCCCAUUGUCAAAAGCCGAAGCUGAGGGAUCACGGGGAAGGGGAACGGCUGGAGUCUGGCUUGGAGACUGGGGGGAGGGAGAAUCAGCAAGUACUUUACCGCGAGAAGAGGAGCCAACCUUGUUAGGGUCAAAGGCUGGUACAGACUCUGAAGACGAAAAAGGACCUUGGGAAGUAACACCGGCAGGAGGUGUAGAAGUCUUGUCAGCAGUUGGUGCCGGAUUAAUCUCAGCAUCAAGGGUGGGAGAGAAUUGCUGGCCAUCUGCGGCUUGGUCACCUGAUCCAGAUGAAGAAUAAUUAAGAGUACGAUGGCGGGUAUACCUAGGUGCUUCACGAAUAGGUGCAACAAGUGUAGCAACAUCAAAAAUUUCGUGAUCAACAGGAAGUGGUGGAGGCAUCGCACCAAUAAUAGGGGGCUCAUUUGGAUCAAGGAGAGCCAUGGAAAAUUCCUUAAGGGGAGAAGAUGAAGGAUGAGAAGUUGAACCUGGUUGGGCGAGAUUGUCCAUGCCGGUGUCUUCAAAUAGGAGACCACCAUCAAACCCAAGUUCAUCAAGAUUAAAGGAAACCUUGAUUCCACUAAAGUUUGGUUGUCUGGGUUCUUCCAGAGAGUCGCUGGAGGAAGAAGAAGGGGAUCCCGGUAGUUGAGAAGGAGCUUCUGCCAUUUUGGCCCUUUUCACUCUAGGAAUGGAAGGACCGUGUUGCUUUGAACGCGCCAGGUGAACUUCGGGAGAUUCCGGCAAUGUCUCUGGUUCACCUUGGACUGCCUGAAAAUCAGAACUUUCAGUUGAAGAAGAAGAAAGAUCACGACUACAAUUCCUGACAAUCUUUUGAACUCGAAGAGCAGAUAAGAAAGGGGGAAGUCGGGCAGUUACUCUUUUUUGCUUCUUCUUCUUGGAUGGCGCUGAAACUGCGGAAGGAGGUUCACGGGUUCUCUUUUUAGUUAGGAUCGUCUGAAGAGGGAUAUUAUCUCCACCGUCAUCAGAUUCUCUCUCCAACUCAGUAGCGGCAGCAGCAGAAGCUUUACCCUUCCUUUGUGUUGAUCGGGAAGUAGGAGGAAUAGCAGAAGACCUGCCCUUUUUAUCCCUGAGAUAAUCUUUGUGGCAGCAGACGGGUAAGACGUAUUCCCCUAGAUCAAGAUCCUUAACGAUCGGGGUACCGUCUUUCUUUGAGGAAGUAAGCUCACGAAUGGCGGAAUAAGCGUCAGCUCCAGAUCCUAUCAAAGGUUCCCAAGGGGCGUCUUUGCGGGGUCUUAAGGCUUUGCCGUCACCGCGAACCUCUGGGAUAGAAAACAGAUAAAAGAGUUAGACAGGCACUAUCAAAAGGAUUUUCAUCCUAGGAAUGUUAAUAUAUGAACAAAGUAGAAAAAGUGAGGAAAAAACCUCCUAGAUUAAACCGCCAGUAUUUUAAAGGGUUAGAAAUGCCAGGUCCUUUUCCCCCGAAGUUACCAAAGACAAUCAUAGGAAAGUCAGGCCAUUCCUUGUCACUUUCCGGCAAUUUUUCAAUAAUAGACCGCCUACCGGGGCGUUUGACGAAAUAGUAAUAAGGUUGACCACAUUUUUCUUCGCAAACCCGAAGAUAGUAACAUUGACGUAUAUCAGCAAGGGAAACGGUAGUUCCUUCAUUGUUUAGUUGGUCUAGGGCCCGCAAGAUACGCCAAAAGUUACCAAUACAUUGUCCAGGGGCGACUUGGUAAAAAUUAAGUACAUCACGGACUAAAUCAGAAAAAGGAAACGGGCAACCAAAAGCUAUUUGGUGGGCUGUCACCAUAAUAGCAUCUUGGCGGCUAAAUUCGUGAUGUGCAAAGCGUAGGGCAUGUUUGUAGUUGAAAAUUUUUACAUCUUCAGGAAUGUCGUAUAGUUCACAGAGUAGAUCUAAAUCAGGUCUAUAAGGGUAGGUACUGGGCACAUACGAAUCAAGGUAGUAACUGGAAGGGGAAGGGUGAACACCGCCAUCACCUUGACCUCCUUCAACUGUCUUCCUCGAAGAAUCUUUCUUUUUCUGAUUUUGAUAAGAAGCCAUUUAUGUAUAGAGAAAGGCUCACCAAAAUCGUAGAGAAAGAAAGAUUAGGGGCGUAUACAGGAUGACUCCAAGAGGAGGAAAGGAGAGAAGAAAAAUAAUUUGGAAAUUUACGGCAAUCGAAGUACAGAGUAUAUAGCGAGAAGAAGAAAAAUGAAAACCUAGAUCUAAUAAUGGCUAAAAUUAAAAUCAAGAAUAAGGAGAAGAGAAUAACCUGAAUUAGUCGACGGAGGAAGAAAUAAAGACGAGAAUCGAACUUUCAGGGGACCGGACGGUGCGUGAUUUCGUAGAGAAGAUGAAGACUGAAGAGAAAGAUAAACAGAGGAGGAGAAUGAAGAAGAUGAAAGGCAAAUGGAAGAAUUGGGUUAAAGGUUGUAAAUUUAUAUGAGGAUAAUCCCAGGGGUAUUACGGGAAGAAGUAAAAUAGUGACGAGACAGUAGCAUUGGGAAGCGAAAGGACAGCAGUUAAAAUCAUAAGUGCGUCUGGGUAAGAGCAAAAGAGGCACGCGUAGGAGGUUCGGGACUCGAGAGCAUGCGCAAUUAAUGAAUAGCUGGAGAGAUAGGGAUAAGGCAGAGCCUAAGGCACGUGAGGAGCAGGUGAUAGAUUAAGUAAUGAAAAGAACUUAUGACAGUUUUUCCGUCAUCAUAAGGAGUUUACAUUUAGGCGGAGAAAAAGCCUUUGAGCCGCCAUCUAAGAAAUAUAGAUGACGGUCAAAGGAGGGGCGAUGUAAGUACCAAACCAUGCUAGGUGGAGUAUUGAGGACACAGGAGCUAGAUAAGGAGAGCAAACUGGGAAGUACCCAAUCGGAGUUCAGAACAUUCUAGAGUAUCACGGAUAAAGCACGUGAUGUCUGGCUGUAAAGCAUUCACUGUAUAGUAUGUGAUGGAGAAUGAAACACGUAGGAGAUAAUAGAACCAUAGGAUGCAAAGGAGGAUCCAACGGUUCAAGGAAGGCGGUGAAUAUUGCUAUAAAAGGAUCACGUUAGGGUUCGCUAAAAGGUAACUGUUCAUUCUUUGCUAAAAACCUAUUCUCUAAACCUAGCCGCUUACUGACUUGAUCGUUGGAGCUUUAUCCACCGGUCAUUGUCCGGUGGUCAUUGCAGGUACUACCGUUGAAGCAGUUGAAGGACCCAGCUGAGCUCAUCAAGGAAAGUGGGCUUACAGAUAUAAUGAGAAAAGUGGAGAGGAUUUAGUUUUACUUACAAGUUACUCUGAAUGCUUCAAGAAAAUUCAAGUACACAAUUUGGCUUUCGAGCAAGCAGUUGUAAUUGUUUAAUCUCUCUUUCUGGCAGUUCUCCAGGAUAUAGCUUAGAGUUAAAAUAAACCCUUGUUGUUAGUUUGAUAGUCAGUUUAUCCAAUACUCUUGCACUUUUUAUCAAAAAUUUAACAAACCACAUCUUCUCCGCUGUCCAUCUAAAAUGCUGGAUCUCAACUAACUUCAAGUGUGACAAGAAACAUUUUGGAGUUGUUCCCAUUAUUUGAACUUAUCCUUUAAAUUGGAUCGAACUAAGUCCCUAUAUAGGAAACAUAAUUAGAAGCUUUAAAAUGAAACUGACAUGAAAAAGUUUCUUUUCAAAGCCGAAAAGAACACAAAGGAAAAUUAUGGACUUACAUCGGGAACGGAAAUAGAUUCGAUAUUAGGCAUGUUACAGAGUAAAUCUAUGAAUGUUCUACCAUUUGCCUCCGUUUUGUACCACACAGUCAGAUGGAUCAAGCGGGAAAGUGCAAGUAAAUGGAUUGAGUGGUUCGGACAGGCGAGGGCCUAGAUAUAUCAAAUAGUACUUCUGAUAAAAAAGGUAACCCCUGAACUUCAACGAUACAAAAGUACAAGACUCUGCAUAAAUCCUUAUCGCACAAGAAUUUAAAACAUCAGUCCCCCCAUCCCCUAUUUUUAGCAGAAAUGGUAACACUCUUGAUCUUUGACCAUACACAGUAAUCUAGGAAAAAUUCAUCUAGGAUAGACAACUUAAAGAAAUUUCCUGUAUUGAUUGAUCUCCAAAAAAUGCAAUCUAAGAUGCAGGACCUUAAGGCUUGAAAAACAAACCAAAGCGGGUAUCUUCAUCGAGACACUCAUUUCAAUUUCAAUAUCCUCAAUGAUUUAUAAGUAAAAUGCAAUCUGAAAACCGAAAGGGACAUUCCUUAAAAAAUUGAGAUAUUUAGUUCUUGAACUUUACGCCUCAUUGCCUCAUAGAGAUCCAUUCAUUGAAGUGAGUUGCAUCACACUCCUUACAUUUGAGGUUGCACCUAGCAUAUAUUUGAAAUAUCAUUGCAACGAAGCACUUUGUCUACAAACUCACUAAAGAUUCCCUUUGUUUUCCUAUAAUUUGGACUCUUGCUCGAGUCGUUAUACAAAUGUUCAUCACAAAAAUCAAGAUUGUGGAUGAACUUCCAAAAGGCCAUUCCAUCUUGUUGAUAAUACACUAGUACCCAGUGGCGGCCCUGAGGGCAUGCCCAAGAAGCUUUUGAUUGGGGCCAACCAAUUUUUAAAGAAAAAGUGCACUAAAUCUUUACUCAACAUGUAUAUAAUUAUUUAUAGACCACAAUAUUGUCAUAAUUAAUUUGGUAGAUUUACUGGUAGCAACACUAUACCCUACUAAAAAUGCCCUAAGACCAAUUCUUAAGUACUAUUUUUUUAAGAAUUUUUUUUUUCCACAAAAAUUAUUUUCUUAUGUGUUUAGAAGUAGGGGUGUUAAACGAGGCGAACGAGCCAAGCUUUGGUAUGUUCAAACUUGAGCCAAGCUUUUAACAAGCCGAGCCCAAGCUUUUCGGUUCGUUUAACGACCUUAUUUAAAAGAAAUGUAGCUACACAUGUGGGUCAUCUAUGUUUAAAUUUGAAUUGGCCACCUAAAACUCAGGGCCGGCCCUGCUAGUACCCAACAACAUAUUUAGUAGGAAGAAAGGAGAGGAUGUAAUGCAGAAUCCAGAAUGUGUUCAGGUAAAUUGUUAAUUCUAUCGAUCUCACCAUUGCACUGUUGUUUAGAUAGUUUUUGCUUUUUAGAAUUUUUUGCAGAAGCACUUGUUUCCAUGACUAAGGUUCCAACCAGAAGCUAUACUGGAAUAUCUAAGAACAGACGAACUUAUGAUUGAUGAACAAUAGUGUAUGCUUAAUGCAUAAAAGGAAAAGGCACAAACAUUGCAGAUAUCUCUCUGUUUUACUGAUCGAAUCAACUCACUCUCUUGACAGCACUAGUAGCACACGCGAAAAAGUCGGUCGAUCUCUUUUGGUCCUCUUUGGCUGUGUCCAAGUGAAACUCAAGAAUGAAGCAGAUAGGUUCCAGUCGAAGGCAUUCAGCGAUGGGAUUGAGAAGAUAUGGAAGAAGAUUCAGUGAUCCCAGCAGGGUCAAUCUCAUAGGGGAAGUCAACUAGUGCGGGAUAUAAGAAAAUAAUUAUAAAAUAAGAUGACACCUCAAAAAGGAAGAAUUACAUUAUUUUAGUAAGGAAAAUAGGCAUUACUUUCUAAAUAAAACAUUGCGUUGUAACUAUGAGAGAGUCUUUUCUCUCUCUCUUCUUUUAAGUUUUCUCUAUCUGAAUGUCGAAGACAUAUUACUUAUUUAUCAAGAAUGUUUCUAAAUUGAUAUGUACAAUUAUUAUAUAUUUGCCAAGAUGUUCUACAUUUCUAAGAUUUCCAUAUUACUGAAUAAAUAAUCAAAUGUUAGGUUGAACUCCAAGUUAAUUAAUUAAUUCCACAAUGUAGAACAAGAUAAUUAUAUUUUAAAUAAAUAAAUAAAUGUAGCAAACAAAAAUAAUCAAGCUGUUUUCCUUUUAAUAGCAACAAAACUGUAUCAACGAACCAUCUUUAGAGUUAGAGUAUCAAUGAACAAGGUAAUCUAAAAUUAUCAUUUCAUAUAUAAAUUGAAUUAUCAAUUAGGGUUAGAGUUCAUUAUUAGUGGCAAAAAAAGGUUAGAGUUCAUUAAACUUUAGAACAUUUCGUCAUGUGAUGUGAUAUAUUGGUUUCAAGAGUUAUCUACAAAUCCUCCAUUCGUUAAUAUUGUAGAUGAUAUACAGUAGAACCUCUUUAAAUUAAUACUCGAUUCGUUAAUCUCUCUAAGUUAAUGAAAUUCUCUAGUCCCGAUUUACAUCGUAAGUAGCUAAAUCAACACUCGGUAAGUUAAUAAAUUUUAAUAAAAUUGCAUAGGUCCGAUGCUAUUAAUUUAAAGAGGCUCUACUGUAUAAUUCAAUCUAUCUCACUUAUUGAGAAAAGUGAAAACAUUGGAGGUAUGAAGAAGUAAAGUGAAGAACUACAGUAAAAUUAAUAAUAAUGAAUAAUCUCAGCCCUUGUAGAAAUUAAAGCAACUUUAGGUUAGCUGUAGACAAGAUAGAUAUGGACGAAGUGAUUCUCAUUAUUCACUUCUUUGUUCUCUAUACAUAGCUUAGCCAAACAUAACAUGUACAUAGGAAAAAGAGGUGUAUUCACUUGUUAUUUCUCUAAGUACCACAUACAGUAUAUAUAUAGGCAUCACAAAGUCAAUCACUUGUGCUUAGCUAACAUAGGUGAGUGCCACCUAGCAUCCUUUUCUGACACAUCAAUUUGAUGACUAAUCAAGUAUCACUGAUGGUCUACCUAAUCACCUGGAUUAAGAGUGUGGGCUUGGAUUUGGACAUCCACUAUUUACAACACUCCCCCUUGGAUGUACAAUAUCCACCAUAUCAAGAUAUUGCCUCAUAAAACCUUGCUAGGAAAAUCCAGUGGGAAAAAACCAUGGCAAAGGAAAAAAAGUACAAUAAUUGAUUUCUUGAUUGGUGUUGGAUGCACUAUAUACUGCCUCGUUAAAACCUUGCUACGAAAACCCAGUGGAAAAAACCGUAGCUAAGGAAAAAUAGUACAGUGCGCUUAAUGUCCUGGUGGCUCCCCCUGAAGACAACUCCCCCUGAUGAAGAUUAGACUAAGCUCGACUUUCGGCGAAUCCCAAUGUCAUAUGCCAGUUUCUUAAAAGUUGAUGGAGGUAGUGACUUAGUGAACAAAUCAAAGAGAUUCUCAUCAGACCAUAUCUUCUGGACAUUGAUCUCAUUACUCUUCUAUAGUUCAUGAGAGAAAAAGAAUUUUGGAGAAAUAUGUUUUGUUCUAUCACUUCUGAUGUAGCCUUCCCUGAUUUGAUCAGUAGAUGCAGCAUUGGUUGUGGUUGAUGAUACAUCAUAUCUAAACAACAUGCGGGCUCCCCUCAGUUACAGAAACACUAACAGUGAUUUGUUUGGAAGAUCACCAAGAAAUUGUUGUACCACCAUAAGUAAAUACAUACCCGGUUUGCGAUCUUUCUUUGUAUGGGUCAGAUCUAUAUCCUGCAUCUGCAUACCCCUUUAGUUAGGAGCCAUUUGGUGGUUCUCUUGAAUAUUAUAAACCCAUAUCAGCCUCGAAAGUAACGCAUAAUCUCUUUUAAGCCAGUCCAAUGGCGUUGGGUUGGAGCUGACCUAAACCUGGCUAACAAAUUCACUGCAAAUGAAAUGUCAGGUCUAGUACAUUGGACUAAAUAUAAAAGAGCACCCUUAACACUCAAGUAUGGUACUUAAGGAGUAAGUAAAGAUUCGUUCUCCUCUUUAGGACGAAAUGGGUCUACCUUCACAUCAAGUGACCUUACGACCAUUGGAGUGCAAUUUGGCAACAUUUGUCCAUGUUAAAACGAUUUAAAACUUUUUUAGUAUACGUUGACUGAUGGACAAAUAUUCCAUGUGUUGUAUGUUCGAUCUGCAGGUCGAGACAAUACUUUGUUUUCUUGAGAUCUUUCAUCUCGAACUCAUUCUUUAAAUAGUUUGCAGCUUUGGCAAUCUCUUCAGGAGAUCCAAUUUUAUUUAUGUCAUCUCUUAAUCUUAAUAGAGUACAUAUGACAUGGUUUUGCUUCAGGCAGUUAGUUUGCAUCUUUAGCAAUCUCUUCAUGAGAUCUAAUUCUAUUUAUGUCAUCUCUUAAUCUUAAUACAUAUGACGUGGUUUUGUUUUAGGCAAUUUUUAUCCUUCAGGGACUUUCAUAUAAAUAUCAGUAUUUAACAUUUCAUAAAGAUACGCAGUAACCACGUUCAUGAGAUGCAUGUCGAGUCUUUUAAAGACCGCCAGACUAAUUAAGAAUCGAAACGUAAUGACAUCCAUCACAAGAAAAUAUGUCUCUUCAUAAUCAAUCCCGGGUUUUUGCGAGAAAUCUUGUGCCACGAGACGAGCUUUAUACCUCACAAUCUCAUUUUUCUCAUUGUGUUUCCUUAUAAAUGCCCAUUUGUAACCUACAAGGUUAACAUUCUUGGGGGUUAGGAAACACAUUUGUUUUGCAAGAGAAUCUAAUUUUGUUUGAAUUGCAUCCUUCCAUUUUGGCCAAUCAUGUCGUUGUCGACUAGGGCUGGCAAUGGUACGGGUUAGACCCGAAACCCGGUCCGAUCCGUACCGAUAAGAAUAGGUUUGGUAUUGCAUUUUUAUGUAUUGGUACGGGUCUGGUUCUUCAAAUUAGGACCCGAUUGUUAUCGGAUCGGGUUUGGAAUUAGUAGAUACCGAACCGAUAUGGACCCGAUAUAAAUUAUUUUGAGGUUUUGAAUAUUUUAGAUUCACUACCAUUAUUAACAUAUCAUAAAAAUCCUAAAUUCUAGAAAUUUGAUUAUUGUAAAUAAAUGUUUUAAUACUAAUUACCUUAUAAUUAUAUGCAAUUACAUUAAAAACAUAGAAAUAAAUAAAAUCAUAUACCAUAUUUGUAUACUUGAUUAUAUAUAUUUACUAAAUAUAUCUAUCUAGAUUCUUAAAAAGUAACUCAUUUUUUCUAAAUUUGUAUACAUGACAUAUCAAUUUAUGGUCAAAAUACCCGAAUCCAACUCGGAUCCGAUCCAAUAAGAUUUGGUAUGGGUAUGGUUCCUUACUUUCGGACCCGAUAGGGUCUGGUUCCGGGUCCAGGAUUAUUAGUUUUCUUAUUGGUUCGGGUAUGGUAUUUCUAAUAUCCGGUCUGAAUCGGUCCAUUGCCAGCCCUAUUAUCGACAUUCCUCAACAGUAUGUGUAUCAAGACCAUCAUCAUCUGCUGCAAUCUCAGCAGCUACGGCAAAGGAGAAUACGUCAUCGAUGACAAUUUUAUUUCUAUUCCACAACUCUCUUGUGUAUGCAUAAACUACAGAAAUUUCAUCAUUUUCAGGUACCUGAGCCAUAUCUGGGGCUUGUGUUAGUUCUGGGACAACCACUUUGGGGGCUUGUGUCAUUUCAGGGGUUUAUGUCACUUCAGGGACGACCACUUAGGAGCUUAUUUCGCUUCAGGGAUGGCCACUUCGGGGGAUUGUGUCACUCUAGGGACACAUUCCUCUUCAAGAGGUUUUUGUUUAGAGAGAGUGUGUUUUCCUUGCCUUAUAGCCUCUUUAGGAGCGCUAUUUACUGGAGGUUUUGUUUGACUUUUCCUCUUCCAGGGAUUUGAGUCCUUUGACCCAAUAGGUCGUCCACGCUUCUGGCGUACUUUAGACGAUUUCAUUUGCUGCCACAUUUGUGGGAUUUCCUUCAGGGACAUGUCAUCCUUCAGGGACAAAUCGUCCUUCUGGGACUUUAAUUCUCGCAGGCGCAUUAACAACUGCUAUAUUUUAUCUUAUCACUCUUGCAAGUCAAUUUAGGCGCUUCUUCAGGAAGCCACAAAUAUUUACACCGUUCUACAGUAACGGUACUUCUUCAGGAAGUGCUUCUUCAGGAAAUCGUAAAUAUUCACGCUGUUCUUCAGGAACAGAUGUAUUUUCUCCCCCUAACGGCGGGAAAACUGUCUCAUCAACGUGACAAUCUGCAAAUCUAGCGAUACGAACAUCAUAUGUCAAUGGUUCAAGAUAUCUAACAAUAGUUAGAGAAUCAAAACCAACCCAAAAAAUUCUAGACUACGAGACAUAUAACUUUACUAUCCGCAAGAUGAUUAUACAUGCUAUAUGCAUAUCCCUUCACAAUACAAGGAAAAUAUUUAAGUAUACUAUUAGAAACGAAUUUCAAAUAGUAAAACAAUGUAUAUGAGGAUUAUUUGACCAAAUAAAGUUAGAACUUCCGGUUCUUAAUUAAUGGAUUAAAACUUCAAGUCUAAUCAAAGAUGUGAGACUUCAGGCUUGAUCACUAACAAAUAAAAACUUUAGAUUCUUGGUCAAAAUCAAAUAUUUGAAACUUCCGGCUCACUGAGGAUUUUCUCGUUUUAUAAAGACUUCAGGCGUCAACAUCAUUUAUAAAAUAUGAUCAUUAGACUUCGAGUCUUGAUCUAAUCAUACAUAACUUCAAGUUCUUGGAGCUUUAAGCCCAAAUAAAAAUUAAAUUUGAUGUUGAGCUUCUGGUUCAUUAUGGAACACAUCAAUAUCACUAUGAAAUAAAUGGUUAGAACCAAUAAUUUCAAUUUAAAAAAUCAAAUACUUACUCAAUACUUACACCGGUAGUAGUGUAGUAGUUUAAUAUUGUAGUUCUUGUCUAUGUACUUCUUGAACAAUAGAGCAAUCUCGUGCUGAUAACGUCGUAAAAAUUAAAGCAACUUCAGGUUAGCUAGUUGUAGACAAGAUAGAUAUGGACGGAGUGAUUCUCAUUAUUCACUUCUUUGUUCUCUGUACAUAGCUUAGCCAAACAUAACAUGUACAUAGGAAAGAGAGGUGUAUUCACUUGUUAUUUCUCUAAGUACCACAUGCAGUAUAUAUAUCUAUAUAAUAUUACAAGGCGGUCUCAUAAACACAGCCGUUAGAUGCCUAUUAGGACAACCACAACCAUUGGAUGUAGAAUAAUUUAUAUAAUCGAUGUAAUAAGUUGUAAUAAUAGCCUUAGAUGUCCAAAAUUCGAUCUUAACCAUUAGUUGUCUAUUGAGACAAUCGUAGCCAUAUGAUUAAGAGUUUUAAUUGCUAUCACAUUAAAUUUCAGAAAUAUAACCUAUAGAUUAAUUAAUAAUACUAAAUAACCAAUAAUUAUGAGACAUGGGCAAUUAAAAUUAUUGUAAAUUAAUUAAUAAUACUAAAUAACCAAUAUUUAUGAGACAUGGACAAUUAAAAUCAUUGUAAAUUUAUUUUUAAAAUAAUAAUAAAAAUAUUGAAACCAAUGAAUCUUUGGUGUAUAAGGAUUUAGAUGUUCAAAAUUCGAUCUUAACCGUUAGUUGUCUAUUGAGAGAAUCAUAGCCAUAGGAUUAAGAGUCUUAAUUGCUAACACAUUAUCUUGUGGAUUAAUUAAGGCUCCAGAUUUUGCCAAAGAAAAAAAUGUUUUUGCCAAUGAUUAAUUCUUGGUAUUACAUAAUUGCCCUCAAUUAGUUUAAUUUAAAAUUUAACUAUUUAGUAUUCACAAAAUCUUGGAGAAAUCUAUUAAUGCUUUGCCCAUAUAAGGAUCAUACAGAAAUUUUGUAAUUAAAUUUUUUUAUUUUAAAUCCCCAAUUUUGAAUUUAUAUUUAUUUAAAAUACUUAAAAAAUAGUUUUUUAUGUAAAAGUUUAAUAAAUAGAAAAUGAAAAAGAUUCACUUUCAUUAUUGAUUGGUUUAAUCAAAAUUUUGAUAUGUAAUUAGAAAAGAAGAAUCAAACAAUUUUAGUGAAUCAAGAGAUUUGAUUUAACAGAUAUUUUGAUUUUUAAGAAUCUAAAUUCUAAAAAAAUGAAAAGUGGUUUUUGAACAACAAUUGUCAUAUUUAUGGUAAAACAAUUGAGGGUAAUUGUGUCAUAUCAAAAAGUUAUCAUUGGCAAGAUUAAUUUAAUUGAACCAUUAAAUUGCAAAUGUUUACUUACAUAUUAGCAAGAUUAAUUUAAUUAAAAUUUUGUAAUUAAAUUUUUUAUUUUAAAUCUCUAAUUUUGGAUUUAUAUUUAUUCAAAAUACUUAAAAAAUAGUUUUUGAUGUAAAAGUUUAAUAAAUAGAAAAUGAAAAAAGAUUCACUUUCAUUAUUGAUUGGUUUAAUCAAAAUUUUGAUAUGUAAUUGGGAAGAGAAGAAUCAAACAAUUUUAGUGAAUCAAGAGAUUUGAUUUAACAGAUAUUUUGAUUUUUAAGAAUUUAAAUUCUAAAAUAUGAAAAAUAGUUUUUGAACAACAAUUGUCAUAUUUAUGGUAAAACAAUUGAGGGCAAUUGUGUCAUAUUAAAAAGAUAUUAUUGGUAAAAUUAAUUUAAUUGAACUCACUAAAUUGAAAAUGCUUACUUACAAUGACAACUAAAUACUCGAAAACUAUUGUUGUAGGUUAUUUAAACUUUCUUACAAUAAUGGUGUUGACUAAACAAGAUAAAAUCCAACAAUAUCUAGAUGCAGGGUAUAAUGGACCACUGGAAGCAGCUAUGCGCUUAUUGGAAAUAUACUACCUAUAGAGAGACCGAAAGUGCAACGAUUACACCUCCAUCUUAUUGGAAUGCACCGUCUUCUUUUUAAUCCUAAUGAAUCAAAGAAAGCUAUUUUUAAAAGGGCUCAAAAUAAGAAAUCUACUCUAACUGCCUUUUGUUUAUUGUUGUGAUGCAGAUGCUUAUUCAAGGGAACUAACAUAUCAAGAGUUCUCUCAACAUUAUGUCUAGAACAAUGAAGAUUCUAAGUGGACAAGAAAAAAAUAUAGAUUUGCCAUUAGUAGAAUGUAUUUUACAAGUCCUAAUUUAAGUGAAAAAUUCUAUUUGUGGUUGUUGGUUACGAUUGUUAAAAGGUCUUGCACUUUUAAUGAUCUUAAAAUAUAUGACAAUUAUUUAUUUAAUACGUUUAAAAAAGCAUGUGUUGCACGUGGUCUGUUUGAGGAUGAUCAAGGAUACGUAGAAUGUUUAGAAGAGAUUACUCUUAUGGAAAUGUCACACGUUCAAAUUUUUUCCCGAUUGCAGGAAAAUAACACAAGCAUUAAAGCUUAGGAUUGCAUAAGGAGGGUAUGAGAUCCAAGUCUCUACUGAGUACAUUAUGCCACUAUUUUCCAUUCCUCCUAUAGUGGUUGGUAGUGAGACCACUGCUAAACUCUUGGUCACAAAAAUUGGUUGUGAAUGCAGUUGGAGUUGUUCUAUAUUAUCUUUUAGUAAUGUUUGAAUGUUUGUCACAUCUAUGUCUACUGUUUUGGUAAAUAAAUACUCAAUAUAUUUCAAUUAAUUAAGGGAAAGAUACUAUCACUACAAAAGAAUUUAGUUAUUCUAACUGGUAGUAGUUUUCCAUGUUUUGCACUGUACGUAAUUCAAACAAUGGGUCUUGGGAGAGAAAAUGACAACUGUAAUCAAUUUCAAAGUAUUAUGAUUUGGAAAGAGAUAUUUAAAACGUUUACUUAAAUGCUUACACACCAUUCUCUACCCCUCCAUAUGUUCUUCUAUGUGUUAAGAACUCAUACCAAAAAAAUAAAAAUAAAAAAAUACACAACUAAAAUGGAUGCUACCUAUAACUCUUAAAAGAAAGAAAAUGGCUAGAGAAAAAUUUUCAUAUGUUUAAUAUUUGUCUGCAAUCAAAGAUGGAGUGAAAUAAAUACAUAUUUGAAGCAAUUGAAUGAUAUUGGUAAAGUUCAAUAUAUAUGUAAUAUAUGCAACUAUUAUAUCCAAAAGCUCAUUAGGAUAAAAACUAAAGCCAAACGUGUUAUUGUUAUUCUUGAUCAAAGUAAAAGAUAUAUCAACUACAAUAAACACAAAAAUAAAUUAGUUGGAUGCAACAAAUAAAAAAUAUUAAAUCAAAAUUUAAGAUAAAUAUUUAAUAAAAAUUAUAGAAAAAAAAAUUAAAAUAAUAAUAAUUAAAAUAAUCGUGCCUUAGGCACAAGUUAUAACUAGUAAUACAUAUAUAUAUAUAAAUAAUAAUCUACAAAGGGUGCAUAAUUUGACUAGGACUAAUUUAUAUGACUAGGAUUAAUUUCUAUGACUGGGAUUAAUAUUUAGUAUGAUUAGGACUAAUCUACAAAGGGUGCAUAAUUUGACUAGGACUAAUUUAUAUGACUAGGAUUAAUUUCUAUGACUGGGAUUAAUAUUUAGUAUGAUUAGGACUAAUAUCUAUGAUUAAGUCUGAUUAGGACUAAUACACCCAAAACCUUAAUCGUCAAGUCAGUUUGCUAAACCUUAAUCUCUUCCAUCAUCAUCAUCGUCCUCUUUUAACCAGAAGAAAAAACUAAAACAAAAGUGAAAACGAUCUGCAAAUCCCUACUCACACAAUUGAGCACUAAAUAAGGAUUUGAGGGAUUUUGCUUCCUUACAACACCCUCGAAUUGAGUUUGCUUUGCUUCCUUUAUAAUACUCAAAUCACCCAAAACCGAGCUUGACUUAUUAUGGAGUCUGUUUUGUUUGUAGGAAAUUCGUUAGUUAUGAUUUUUAGGUGGUUCUAAAUUCUGCUGAAUUUUUUUUGAAUUUUUCUGUUUGGAUUUUGAAUUUUUAAUCGUCCAACAGCAUCAAGUUCUUCUUAAUCUGUUUGAAUUCAAGCCCAACAACAUCAAGUUCUUAUUUGGACAAUUGUUCUUAUUUUGCAGUCAAUUCAAUUCUAUAUAAACUGAACUAUUAGUUUUGAUCCUGUAUUACAAUCACAAUUAUUGACUGUAAAUAAUGUGAAUAAGUUGCAGAAUACUUGAAUGAGGAUUAAUUUUAAUACUGUAAAACAAUUCAAUUCUUUUAGGCACAUUGAGACCAAGGACGAAAAACAAAGUUAAUGAAUGAUGGAGUAAUUUAUGUAGUGUAGCUAGGUAGCUUGGGUUAGGAGACAUGUCUGUCCCUCUCUUCAAGUACUCCUGCAUUUGCACUGCAGUUAAAUUAUGCCCGUCCAUCGCAAUGAAUUCUUCAGCUGUCAUCCCAAUCUUAUUACUUUUAAAGUUUCAAUGUCUUAGGAACAUCUCAUGACAUUAUAGCAUAAUGAAACUUUAAUAGUUAUCACUAAAAUACACUCCAAAUUUUGUGUCUAGAGUUGCUUUGCUGCAUCUCAAACUAAUAUGCUAUGCUGUCAUAUCAGUUAUUCGUGUUCAUGUAUUCAGCAUUGGAUGUCUUACAGUGAUCUUCAUUCAUUAAGCAAAACUAAAAAUUCAUCGUAUUAGUAACCAAAAUCAUGUCGACACCUUCUUAGCGAAAUCACUUAUAUAGAAAACUAGAACUAAUGUUAUGGUAUUAUUAGGAGCCCCAAGGAAAAUGAUGUAGUCUGAAACCAUUUGAAUGGGGGAGUGUAUAGAGAGAGCUUUGUCAGAUUUGUACUACCUCUUCCUUGGUAGUAUACUAGCCAUAGCUUUCCUGAUUUUGUUUUCUCCUUAUUUUCCGGCCUCCAUGUGAAAUGUGCAUUGCCUAAUAACAAUGAUGCUUUCUUAAAACAAUAAUAUAAGCUGACACGGGUAUAGGUUUCUUCUACAGACAAACUGAAGUGAUGAGGGAAUUUUAAGUUAAUUAAAUGAGUACGGGACUAGAAACUAAUCUAAUGUAUUUUUAAGAAAAAACAAUGAUGUAUGAAAAAUUAAAAAUUAAUAAAUUAGAAUUAAAUAAUAUCAAGCUAAAUUAAUCAAAAAGACAAAGGAAAGUUUGCUGAAAGUGUAUCUAGAGCCGGUCAUAAUCUGAAGAGGGUGGACUUCGACUCUGACGUUAGCCUUACGUCGGUGACCCAAAAUAUAAUAGCAGACAAGUUUUGAAAACCAGAAGAACAAGCUAAAAUCCAGUGUAGACAAUAAUUAACACCUCACAAUGAAUUUUGUAAGAAAUAUUCAAUUUGAUUAAGUACUUUAACUAAUAUGGCAUAUGCUUGGAAUUUAAAUUUUAAACAAUGUCAAAUGGAGCCUAAAAAGUAAAUGGGAUUUGGAUUUAUACAUAUUGUCUCCUUCAUUCCUUCGAAUGUUUUCGUAGUUGAGUAUCCUUCUAGAUACUAUGUUGAGGUUAAUACCUUUAUUUUCACUUUUUAGCAUACAAUUUUGAUCUAUAUUAUCAUACAAACACAAAAAAAUUGUUUUUUCGUUUAAUGUUAGCAGUUUUGUUUUGUUUCCCUGUUUUACUAACUAAGAAAGUUUUAUUUCAACUACUGUUGAAAUCCUAAAACGUUAGCUUGACACUUUCCCCAUUGUUUUGCCCUUCCCAGUAUUCCACUUAUAAUGCUCCCCCGAGCUGACUUCUUUUAUAUCUACAUUGUCUGACAGAGAAAGAACAAUGGGUACAAAAGCCUUCUUCUGAUGAGUCUGUCAUGUGUAACAACUCCAUCCAGAAAUGCCUAGGCUGAUUUGAUAUUGAAGUUUCCACCUAGACUAAGAGCCGAUAUGAUUUUAAAGAUUUAAGUUUGGAUUAUACAUGUUAAGAUCUAAUUAUAGAGUACUUGAGGAGCUGGUGAUAGUUCAUUGUAGUUGUAGGCAUUCUAGAACUUUGUUGGCUAAGUGCAUAGCACAAAAUAUCGCGACAAUUAUAGUGUGACAAGUUUGACCAUUUUGAGAAACUACAAUUUUGUUUAGAAAGAACUUAGUCAAUAUUACUUGAAUGGGAACAAAAUUAGCCCAUUUUAAUUUAGGUACUUAGAAACACUGAAACAGAACACAAACUUGACAAAUUGAUGCAUUAGCUUGAUUUUUCUGGAAGGAACAUUAAUUAGCAUGGGCACUCCAUAUAACUAGGAAAUAUUAUGUGAGUGAAAAAGCAAAAGAAUAAAUUAGCAUAUAUAAUCCAUUUACGUUUUUAUACAGUAAAUGCAGAGAUAAUAUUAAUUGAUAUCUACAUUAAUAAGGAAGAAAAUGCAAAAGGAUAAUGUUCAGAAGAAUAAUGUUAUCAUAUUCCUUGGUAUGAUAAAUAUGGAUUAAGAAUAGAAAUUUGUUGAAGCCAAAUAUGCAUGUUUCGCCAACUAGCUUAUAAAAAUAUUGAAAUAAUUAGAGAUAUUUUGCAUGCAAUUUGAUUAGCAAGGACAAGUGAGCGUUACGCCUUUUCCAAUAACAAAUCUGAAGACCCUUUCAAUAAAAAUAUAAUAGCCUAAAUACCAAUCGAAUAAUACGUCGUCCAAUGACUUGGCAGGUAAUGUUACUUUCCAGAUGUGAGGCUAAUGGAACUGUGCACUUGGGAAUCCUCCAAGAAUGGUUUGGAAUACAUUGGUGGAACUCCCGAGCUUUCACUUUGUUCUGCACUAUCAUAUUUAUCAUGCUUUUGAGAUUAUUUGAGAUUAUGGUACAAAAACUUUUUUGUUCAUUCUUAUAUUUAUAGUUGUGGUUUUUUCUUAAUGGUUAUGAGAAGUACAAAACAUUAUUGAGAGGGCAUUGAUAGUAAAGGGGUAUACAGUACUUCUUGGAAGUUAAUUAUAUGCAAACUAGAUUUAUGUGAAAUUGUUGUUUGCUAUACAGGUAAACUAUGGUUCCAAACAAUUAUUCGAGACUCUGCCAGUGGCCACAGGAGGACUCUAUUGAAUUGGGAACCAGUUCAAAAUAUAAGCUUUUGUUACAGAUUCGUGUUCUCAAAUGAUGCUUCAUCUCCAUGACGUGUAUGAUACAAAGUCUCAAUAAGGUUAAGCAUUUGCCAACUCUACAGUAUUUCUAUAUGACCGUGGAUCUCCAUGUUCAUUUUUGUAACUUAUCGAUUAAUCUCACUUUCUACUUUAAUCGAUAAAUAUAAAAAUAAAAAUUGUUUACGGGUCACCAUGUGGAGAAGUAGAGGUAGAAUCUAAGCAUACUCAAGCUAGCUGGGUUGUGUUAGUAGCUUAAGUAUGAUCCAAAUCUAUUUUCUGUACUAUGACAUGAGCUGAUAGCUUAGCUUUUGAUGUUAUUGCACUUGAAUAACAUUAACUUUUGAUAGUUAGUAGCAAUUGAACUAUGACAUGAGCCGCUUGAAUGAGGCUGAAGCCUUUGAAGCUUGGGUUUUAGAUAGGGCUGGCAAAGUGACCCGAGACCCGUUAACCCGACACGAACCCGACCCGAUAUAAACAGGUUUGGGUUUAGCCUUAUCGGGUUGGCGGGUCAUUUUGACCCGAACCUGUUAACCUGUUUAAUAUACAGGUCGGGUUCAGGUCUGAAUAUUAACAGGUCGGGUCAGACCCGAAACCCGUUAGAAAACCCUAAGUAUAAAAUAGAAAAAUACCAAUACCCUAUCUAUCCUUGUUAUUUUCUUCUUGGCCGCCACCAUGAACAAACCAGUGAACCACCAUUAACGUCUGUUCUUCUUCAUGUAAAAUGGCAGCAUAUCAUUCAUCAUCAACUCUUCUUCCUUUAGAAGUUGAAAUCAAGAUUUCUUCAGCUAAUGAUCUUAAAAAUGUUAAUUGGAAACAUGGUGAUCUCAAAUCGUAUGUUGUUGUUUGGGUUGAUCCUAACUCCAAUUAAUCAUUCUUCUUCUUCUUCUUCAACUUCAUCAAUCUAUUGAUUUUUCUUCUCACUACUUUCCUUCCUUCUUUGCAGCUUUAAUCUGUCUAAGCCAUGUUCUGACGAAUUCUUGUCAACCAAAACGACCGUUUGAAGCAUAUAUUGGAUAGUACUGGUGUUGGCGGUGGUGAUGGCGAUGCUGUUGCUGAGAUCAACGGUGAGAUUAGAGCACGGUUUCUUGGAAUCAAAAGAAGAUGUACUUCUCUCAUUCUUCAGUUGACAAAUGUUUAUGAACAAAACAAUGAGUUAUCGGUUGUGAAUCUUUCAAUCGAAGAAAUCUUGAAAUAUAGAUGUUAGUACGUUUACUGUUUUUCAUGAUUCAUGAUGUUGAUGAAAAAUUGAGAUCCAUUGAUGAUGGUAAUUUUACAGAUAAUACAGAACCAGUUGGUUUUACGCCACGAUUUGGCUUCCAUCAUCCAAAUCAAGAAGCAACACCAUAUUACCCACAGUCAUAUACAAACAUUCAAUGUGUUUAAGAAAGCAGGUCUAAACAGGUCGACCUGAACCCGACCUGUUUAAUUAGCAGGUCAGGUUCGGGUUUAAGGAAAAAGAGUUAAACAGGUUAACAGGUCAGGUUCGGGUUUAAGCGAAAAACACCCCAACCUGUUAAGACCCGACCUGAACCCGACACGACCCGACACGAUUGCCACCCCUAGUUUUAGAUGACGUGAACAACAAAAUUGACUAUAGGAUUUUGAACCAACUUUUGUGUUAAGCUAGCAAGUGCUAGACAUGGUGGUAUUGACGACUGGAUGAAGAGUGAUAUUAAGCCUACCUUUGCUGCCUAAAGCAUUAACUCUUGCUUUCUUGAGUUUAAAUUUUUUUCCUUUUAAGAGCACAAGACAUUAUUUUAUUUAUUUAUUUUUUUUUUUUAUAAAGCAAAACAAGACACUUGACCACUGUGAUUCUAAAUUUCUGAUAUGAUCAUCCGACUAUAUUCUUUCCCAUAAUCAUCUUUUCUUUACUUAUGCGGUACUAUUUUGAUUCACAUUUUCCUUUGAGCAACACAAGACACUUGGGUAAACAAUUUUUUUUUAUCGUGAAUAGAUAUUAUAAAUAGGAACAUAAGGUCAUGUAUUUUAAUAAAAUAUUUGCAUUUAGCAUUUUGUGCAUACUUAGCUGGUGUAGCUCAGUUGGUUAGAGUGUGUGGCUUUUAAACCACAAAGUCGAAGGUUCAAGCCCUUCCUCCAGCAUCUGUAUUUACUGUAGCUUUGAUAUUUUGGCAUAAUAUUCAUAUUUAUCUCAAGUAGCUCAUUUUGUUCGAGUUUGAUGGUUUUUUACCUCGAUGUUGAGUUCAAGCCUUUUUUAUACAAUUUACAUUUUAAUUGCCAGUUUUAUUACAAUUUGGUGCUUUCAACGAUGUAAUGAAAUUAGUUUCAAUUCUUUUAUAUUGUCAUCAUUCUAGCCUAGAACUAAUAUGUUACACGGCACACAGCUGUUUUCAUCCUCGAAAUCGUUGCGAUCUUUAGAAACUAACACAAAUAGUUGUGAAACAUGGUCUUUAAUGAAGAUGAAGAUAGCUGGCGGACGAAAUUGAGCAGAAAAGGGGAUUUUUUUGUCCACUCCAUGGGUUUUUUAGAAGAAUUUUUUAUCAAAGUUUGUUUGGUAAUUUCUAUGACUUUUCUAAGGUCCCUAUUCUAACCCUCAUGUACAAUUGGCCAAAACAGUUUUUCUAAACAAAAUUUCAUAGUAUUCGGUAUCUCCUGAUAUAGCAAUUGCAACAUCUCCAAGCUUGAAACUCUCACCUGUUCAGAACUUUGUUUAUGGUGUUUCACGUGGUGGAUAGACUUGAGCUUUGGCGGAAGUGCUAUCAAUAGUUGAAAGUAACAACAUGCGUACUAUCAGCAUGUUCCUGCAAGAUUGUUGUCUAUUGUUCCUAGCACAACAACUGAUCUUAAAUAUGGCUGAAACAUUGGCCCAAACUUCUUCACGAGCUCACUAUGUUCCCUAGGUACUGAAGGUGAUUUUUUCUUUUUUAUCUAAAUUUUGGACAGAACAUGAAAAUAACAUGUUACUUAUUGUUUCCUUGGCUGUCUAAUUUCAGAUAUCAUUUGAAAUUCAAAGACCGGAGGAAUUGGCUAUUAAAGAAUCUAGGGAUUAAAGCAUUUAUAUGUAAAUAAAAAAUAAUCUAACAACCAACAAUUUCAACAAUAAGUUAUGACAGUAGUGAUAUCCAAAUUAUCAAAAAAUAAUUAUAGGUUCAAAAUGUCAAUAAGAAAAUCGAUGUAUCUCAUUGACUGGAAAGAAGCAAAUGAGAUUAUGGAGGUAUUCUUCGAAGAAAAAAAAAAGAUAUGAACAAACAAAGACUAAGAAAGAAACAGUCAUUGGAGAGAAGAUACAAAUAUAAGAUAAGUUAAGCGUCAAAAUAGAGAAUCUCAACAACAAUAAAAUAAUUUAUUUAUGUUGUUUUGAGAAAAUCCUACAUAUUAUUGUGUAAGGUAGUAUUUUCAAUAGAAAAUAUUACAUUGCCGACUGCAAUUUACGAAUAUGUUAUCAUAUUUUUGAUAAAAUUAUUGUCACACAAACUUCUAUUAAAUGGUUUCUUUGAAAAAAAUGGUUGUUCAUUUCGUCAUACCAUAUGUGAUUUUAACUUUUAUUUCUACAUCACAUGAUUAUCUUGAGUGGAAUAGAUAUUUGUGUUGUUCAUAACAUCAAACUGGUGGCUUUUUUGUCUCUGUCAAACUACGUUAAUCACUCGCUUAGGGAUGGACACAGAUAAUAAGAUAGAGCUAAUUUUUGAAGGUAUUACUAUUGAUAACGGAUGGUAUACAGUUGACCUUUAUGGCAUACUUACAAGUUAUUAUGGACAAAUAAUAUAUCCAAAUGCUUUUUUGAAAACAAUCUGAAAGGAGAAAAUAAUGGAAAUAAUAAGAUCAACAGUAGAAGAUAUACCACCAGAAGAAGAAGAUGAUACAUAUAUGGACGAAAUGGACAAAAUGGACCUGAUGAAAAAAAAGAUGAUAUACAAGAAAUUUCAAAUGGAUACAUUGAGCUGUUAGAGAUAUUUACUCUAAAAAAUUUAGUUAAUUAGAUUAAUUAUUAUAUUUUUAAGAAUAAUUACUUCAAAUAAAUAAUGGUUGACCAACAUCACCUGAGUAUCUGACAGUCAGAAACCUACUCAGUUUUGCACAGUUGUACUGAGCAUUUGUUGUGUUAUAGCAGUAGCUUAAUGUUACCACCUAUGAUGCAAAAUUUUUGUUAUUAGAGUAUUUGACUAUAGGGACCAAUUAUGUGAUUAUUUAUAAUUUAGAUCAACAAUUUUAUCCAUGCAUCAAUGUCCCUAAGACUAUAAAGCGUCAGAACAAUUAUAUUUUUUAAAUAAAAAAAAAUUAUAUUUUUUAGAGUUCUAUUUUCAAAUUAUUAAUGGUAGUCGUGGCAGCGCCACGGGUUUUACUAGUAUAUAUAUAGGCAUCAUAAUGUCAAUCACUUGCUCAGCUAAUAUAGGUGAGUGCCACCUUGCAUCCUUUUCUGACACAUCAACUUGAUUGCUAAUCAAGUAUCACUGAUGGUCUACCUAAUCACCUGGAUUAAUAGUGUGGGCUUGGAUUUGGACAUCCACUAUUUACAACAAGCCCAAAUAUAUGUGUAGAAGAACAUAGAUGACAGUAUUCACCAGAGCUUGGACGCUUGGUUGCAGAUCGAGAACAAAGAGGGAAAUCUGAAAUUUUUAUUUUUUAACGAGGGAAAAGUUUUGCGAAAUACAGGCCCUUUUAGAUAGAGCCCAACCCAACAAAGAAGCCUGGUGUGGUGUUUGAUGAUAAGUAGGGUUCUUUUCUUUUAACUAUAAAUUAUUGUUUCUCUCUUAUCGAUUGAUCUUCUACCAUCAAAUUAGGGUUUCUUCUUCAUCUCCAUUGUAACACAACAUCAUGAGGGCUAAGGUAACAACAACAUCUUUAACUCUUUCUAUCUCUUAAUCUAUUACAAUUGUUGUUCUCUUUCUAUCUCUUAAUCUAUUAAAAUUGUUGUUAGUAAUGUGUAGGUUUUGAUAUAUUGUGUGAUUUGUUUGUUUGUUAUUUGAUUUAUACAACAGUGGAAGAAGAAGCGAAUGAGGAGAUUGAAGAGGAAGCGUCGAAAGAUGAGACAGAGAUCCAAGUAGAUUGAUCGAAAUUAAAGUUUUAUGUUUUUGUUUUGUUUUAGUCGGUAGAUAUAUGUAUCGAUAUCGGAGUUUUCUUUUUAGAUCGGAAACGAUUUCACUUUCGGCGGAUGAAUCGGAAUCGGAAUAGCUACUAAAAUAGUAGUUUUAUGUUUAUCGUAAUUUGUAUCGGAUUUUAUGGGUUUUUUCCUAAUAUCGGAAGAAUCGGAUUAGUAGCUUAUGGUUAUGGUUAUUUGGAUGAAUGUUUGAUUUGAUUAAUUAGUUUGAUUUAGUUUUUAAUUUUUUAUUAAAUUGAAAAGAUAGCAUGGCCUGAGAUUAAGAUUAGUUUCAUAAUUCCUUUAUUCAUGAUUUGCCCCUUGUUUGCGGUUUUUAUUUAAGCAAUUUUUAUCACUAAAAUUAGUCAUGCUUUCACACUAAAAACCUUUACAUGAUAGUUCGCUAUAGUUUAUCUGCUUGUAAAGUUGUAUGCCGUGGUCCAUUAUGGUGGAUUGAAUGGUCCAAAAGUUUGAAGCAUGUUUCAAACAUUUGAUGUACUUAGUCCGAUAUGGUCAUCGGAAUAUAGGAUUGUUAUGGUAGUUGUUGUUUCUGGUUUGCUUGUUAAAUGUGGUGUUGCUUUAUUGCAUUUUGUUGUUGUUGUAGAAGACACAAUAUUCUAGUGCCUAUUUAUCAUAAUGCGGGUAUACAUUAUCUGAGCCUUUCUGCAAGCCUUACUCUUUGCCAUCAUAGAGUUUGAAUUUUGUGUUUCUUGUUAGGUUUGAGGCACAUUUUCUGAUAACACCUUGAGCUGAGCAUGCUGCCAUACCAUGUCAAGGUUUGGAAAUAAAGAAAACCUUUAAGCAUGUUUUUGUUUCUAAAUGUUACAGUGUACAGUUUUUGUAUGGAGGAGUAAGGAGUGCAAUUUUGUGGACAUACACAUUUUGUGUGUCCACGGGACAGCGUUGUAAUAGGUCCACGUAGUUAAAAAAUCCACAUCAGCUUUUAAUUAUAAAUAUUCAAAGAAUAAAAAAAAUAAAAAAUAAGAAUAUUAGAAAAACUAUAGAAAAUAGUGGUUUCUCUUCCAAUGUUUUUCUUUCCCACUAAAUGAAUAAAAGGUCUCUCUUCUGUUCUGCCUUCAUGGAUAUAGGAGAUGGAAUGGAAUUAAUUGAUUUAUACUGGUUUAGUAUUGUUCAAAAAACCAUUACAAAACUAUCCUCUACUAACGUUUCUAUCUUAAUCUCGUAUCUUGAAAAAACAGAGGUUUUAUGAGUUAAGUUCGCUCUCUACAGGUUCAAUCUUAGUAACCAGAUAUUAGUUAAAACAAUAAUUUCAUGUAAAGAAUGUAGGAAAAAUUAGGAAUACUAGAAGAACAAUCAAAACCCAUCGAUAAAUUAAAGAUUUUCUUCUAUGGUUGAUGAAAAAUCAUCAAAAAUCAAUCAAAACCUUUUGAAUUAGAGCAAUUGAAACCCUCUUUUAUUCAAACCAAACCCCUUUGUUUAUAUUAGGGAAGAAAACAUUAUUUUCAUUUUUCUUGUUAUUUACUUUUUAAUAUUUUAUUUUUUGUUUUUGAUAAUUAAAAGCUGAUGUGGAUUUUUAACUAUGUGGACCAAUAAGACAACGUUGUCCCGUGGACACACAAAAUGUGUAUGUCCACAAAAUCGCACUCAGGAGUAAGGGCAUCUCUAAGGUUCAUCAAAUCUGUCACCAAACUCAAAUUUGAUGAGAAAGUGAGAAAAACUCCAUCUAAUGGACCAUCAAAAGUUCAUCAAAUUUGAUAUUUCACCAAAAAUCAUCAAAAAUUCAUCAAAUUUGGUGAAAAUUUGAUGAAAAACAUCAAAUUUGAUAUUGGGUUGAGGUGGGCAAGAGAAGACCGCUUCACUUAAAGCGAGUAAUGUAGUGCCGCUUCAAGUGGCACUCCAAAGCCCAUUUCAAUUAAGUGGCACUUGGAUGUCUGCCUCAACAGAAUUCUUAUUUAGCUUUUCCUUAAAGUGACACUUCAUUGUCGCCUCAACUAACUGUUGGGUUAAGUGUCACUUGGAUGCCCGCCUCAACUGAAAUUUUCAUUUAAGUGGCUCUUCAAAACUAGUCCAACUCAAGUGGCAUUUCAUUACCGGCCUCAAUUUGGUGAACCAUUAGAAACUGAAGUUUUUUUUCAUCAAAUGGUCCAUCAAAUAGGUACCAAAUCUGCUGAGGUGGCCCAUCAAAUUUGGUGAACCAUUAGAGAUGCCCUAAAGAGUUGCAGUUUUUACUUCACCCUACUCCGGGAGUACUGUUAAUUUCUAUUACUUGUUAUGCUGGCAAACAUGCCUUGUUAGUUGUUACACUGGAUUGGAUCCAUCUGUGAUUAAAUGUGAUUUGUUAAGCUAUGGAUGGGCAGAAUUGGUUGUCAUUUGGUUUGAAUUGUUUGGAUGCUAUUUUGUACCUUAAACAGUUCAGUGUUCCAAACAUAGCCUAUUGGACUACAAAUAAGAAUUCCUUUGUGCCUAUAUUCCAAUAUAAACAAAUCUCUUAGGAAGGAGUUUAUAUUUUGCAAAUAGAGAACUUGGUGGACCUUACCUGUCUAAAUCUGCAGUAACAAAGAAGUUCAAAAUUUGGAACUUCUCAAAAUGUUUCGACUUUCUCAACUGGGAUUCACCUUACCUUUCUUUUGACACAUAUUUUAUUUUUUGGCAAGGGAGAUCAGUAACUCAAAGAUGCAUUAAAAAGUUGGGAUCUUUUGAAUUAUUUUACUCACAUGGUCUUUAUAGUUGAAUGAACUGGUAAUCUUGUAUGUCAUCCUGCACUUAGUAUAACAGAUUAUUAUUAAGGUGAUCACCAUAAAAUCCAUUUCUUUUUCAAUACUGUGAUGCUCCAUUUUUCUGAUAUGCUACCAUAUUUACUUAUACCAUGUCUACAAAUCAAAUACAGAGGUAACCACUACCGAGUAUUCAUGUCAUAUAUGUUUAAUAGACUAUUAUUACAGUCUUAGAGUUCAAACAAGUUUGACUAUAAUGAUGUAAUUUCAUCAUUUCACCAUGCAGGGUAUCAUGUGAAAUGAUUUAAUGACCCUUUAAAGUAUGGUCCAUUAAGUGUUACAAUGUUGAUGAGGUCAUGGGUUUGAAGUAAGAUAAGAACACAAACUUUACCCACCCUUGUCUCUUUGCAUCAUAACAUUUGCACUUUUGCAGUCUAUAAAGCCAUGCAAAUCUUUUCACUACCUCCCCCAUUUCUCAUUUAUGAUAAAAACCUAACCCUAGAUAUUAAUCAUGAACCUUCUUGAACUGCAUUAAAGUUGAAAAUUACAGACUGGUUAUAUAUGUAGAGCAAGAUAUGUAAAAGAGAUGCAUAAUUAGAGCUUGUCAUCAUUGUUUCUUGGAUUUGAACAAGAUCAUCAUCAAUUACUACACCCUCUACACCUUGGGCAACUUAAACAGCAGCAAACCUUUUUUACACAUUUGACUGCAUAUACUUGGUGGACAUUUAUGUGUACAUUAACAACACAGCCACCUUACCAUUACCAAAAGGAAAAUAAAAAAGGCUUAAUCACCCAAAAACCAUUUACAGUUUUACACAAUUUACCAGUAUUAUCAACCUUUGAUAUGAUGAUCAACAAUUCAAUGGAUUCCUCCCCUUGAUUUGCAUAGUACAGAACUCGUGAUACUACUUAAAAUCAUAAUUAACAAUAUUCUUCUAAGCAAGUUUCAUGAGGCAACAAAUUACUGGCCCCAUUAAUCCUAAAACAUACAGAAUCCAUGCCAGCUAAAACUGUCAAAAAAAAAAACAAAUUUCUCAUGAUAACAAAUUCACGUUAAACACUCUGUGAACAGUAAGCUUAAGAGGUCCUACUUAGUAAAAUGAUUAAUGUGAAUAAGUACAUAAUAAGGGCAAAUUUGUCAUUAGAUAAAAAGUAAUGAGAUUUGCUUAAAAAUGUUUUGAUCUAAAAAUAUUUCAAGAAGACAAGAUGAGCAACAUUGAUGAUGGGGGUUGGAAGGUGAUGAUGGUUCUUCAACCCAAACCAACCAUCAUUGCGAAUCUUCCAUAGCCCAGCCCACCAUCAUUUACAUACUACAAUUUUAUACCCAAAAUACCCUUGAGGAAGAACAAUCAUCACACAUACUUGAACUUCAUCCCCCAUCAUUAUACUAACACAUUAAAUCUCAUCCUUGCUCUUACAGUCUUUAACUGUACAGGCCGUCUUCUUUGCUUACACAUGCAUGAUUGCUUUGGCAGAAGAAGCACGUCCCUCAACACCCCUUCUCUUCUUCCCAACUCUCUAUAAAUUCACAUUCACAACUUUCUACUUCAUCACCAUCUCUCCAUUUUCUUCUACUUACUACUCUAGUCUUAGUUUUCUGAACAUUAGCUGUGCAACCUUCACUUCAUCAAGAGUUCUUCAUUGCUUUAGAAAGGUGAUCUUUUUGUACACACCACUUCUGUUUCACUUUCUGAGUUUUUAGUCAUAUGUUUUAGUCUUAUAUAAGAUUUUGUACUUUUUUCUCAAACACUUGUGUCUAUGUAGGGCUUCUCUUCCUUUCACUAGAUUUUGUUGCUAAAAAAGGGAUUAUUUUUAUACGGUGAUAGUGGGCUUGUUUGUACUGUAUAAACUUUUAUUAAGAAAAUAAAACUAAUUAGUGAUUGCUAAAUAUAAUUAAAUCAUCUGAUUUUUAAAUAAUAUAUAUAUGGAUUUCCUCUGUUCUCUGUGAACUUCCAUGUUCCAUUUCACUUAAAGAAGGAUCUUUGAAAAGUCUGGAGUCUUCCAAACAGUUAUCUUUCAUGCUUUAAGGUUCUUGAACUUUUUUCAGAUAGCCGUAUCUAUCUGUUCUGGUCUCCUUUUUCUCUGUUUUUCUACAGUUCUGACUUCUUUCUUCAGUACUCAAUAUUCAAUAUUACAGCAUAUCAAAUAAAUAAAAUGCUUUAUUUCUUUCUGUCAUGAGUAUUAGUUUGUGGGAUUUCUUUUGCUGUUGCUCAGUUGCUGUGUCUAGUCUGACUUACUCUUGCAGUUUAUUUUAUAAAUUUAUCUGACUAGCCAUCAUUACAUUUCCUUCAGAAAAAUAUUACUAUAUCUAAGAUAUUCUUUUCUGUUUAUUGUUUGGUCACAGAUUUCUUAGUCAUGGAACAGCUGAACUCAGAGCUUUACUUGAGGAAUUUGUACAUAAUGCAAGAGAAUGAAAGGCUAAGGAAGCAAGCUAAGCUUCUUGACCAAGAGAAUCAGAAACUGUUAUAUGAACUCAAGAAGAAAUUCUCCAAGACAAACAGUACUAACAAGCAAGAUCUUAAUGGCUCUGCCUCUACUAUCACUUCUUCUCCAAAUCCCAAGAGUUCCACCAAACCAUAACCAUGUCAUGGAUUUAGUUAGAUAGUCCUCUUUCGUAUUAGGUAGUACUAGUUGUUUGUUAGUAAGUUGUCUUCUACCAUGGCACUUCAUAGUAGUAUGUUUUCUUUUAAUUAUCCUUUUAAGGUGACAUCAUGAACACCUGCACUACAAAGAUGUAUCAGUUAAGAAAUGAAUGAAGUAUAGUACUUUUGUCAUCUUGUAGUAUGCUCUUCUGUUAAUAUUAUCUUCUCUUGAAUACCCAUGAAGCCUGUGAAUUGGUUGAGUAUGCAAAAGAAAAUAUCACCAUAACUUGGUACCUGUUUGAGUUCAUAUGACAUGACAUUUUUAGUUCACACUUAAAAUUUGGUCUUACAGCAGUUGCACACAGAUCUCUGUACUGAAACAUUUGCGAUCCUAAACUAUGUAGUGUGUAUGCUCCAAUAAUAAUUAAAAACAAAUAACUAAAUCCACAUCCCUCAUUUAAUGAUGAAGUGAAAAUAUAAGUUGCCUAAACAUCACAAGAAAGGCACUUCUCUUAUUUCCUUAAGCAGAAAGGGUGGAAAAGAUAGUCCUGCUAAUAUCUUCCUGGCUUUAGUCCAUAACUUAUUUAUUUUACGAUAUUUCAACAGAACAGAAGUAAUAUUACUAGAGAAAAACAGUAUUGAAGCUUAUACCUAGAAAUAUACAGCCAGCAUAGAAGUGCAGCAUGGUGACUAAUGAGCUAAAGGAAUAGUCAACUCAUAUACAAAGCCUUCAAAAAGUUGUAUGCCUUGGAUCUUUCGCAUUGAAACAGCAGGGAAAAAUUAUUUCAAGCAAAAUAUGCCAACUCACCAACUACUGUAAAGGCUCAACUUGUGUAUAGGUAGGAAUUCAUCGUAUAUUGUAUUAAGAGGAGGCUUGGGGAUUGAACAUGGGUGGAACAAACCUAAAGAAGGGGGGUUUUGUUGUAUCCCCGACACUUCUCAGUGAAAUACACUGGUGAGACGUGAUCUCUUGAACUUGAACCUGAACCUGCUGUAAAGGGGUGGAAUCCUCUUAAAAGAGAGGCUUGUACAGGGUGGAAUUUCGUGUAUUAGAGGCCCAUUAUUCAACAUUUGUAAGGCCUAACUAAAAGCCGGGAGGUAAAAUAAACCUUAACAAUAAUUCCCAACAUGUACAUUAGUAUAUAUGAUGCAAACCUUAGCAAUAAUUCCUAACAUGUACAUAAGUAUAUAUGAUGCCUUUACGCAAUGAAUGAUGCAAAGUUGCAAACACAUACAUAAUAAACAUCUGGAAUAUUGGAUCAUAACAUGAGAAAAUAAAUUAAGUUCUCCAUUAACUUCCCACUGAAAAACAAAAGAGAAUACCAAAACAUGAGAUCAGUUGAGAUAUUUAGUACCAGAAGAUUAAACAAAUUGAAAGAGGAGAGAAAGGGAAAACGACACACACAUAACUUGAUAAUUGCAAUAUACACCACAUCAUAACACCCACUCUCUGACAAGAUCAAACUACUUUUCCAGGACAGCCUAAGAAAUCACACAAAAACAUUAUCUUGCACUACAUCAGCAAAAACAGAAGCACCCUAUUUGGUAUACAUUUUAUGAAAAUCUUAACAUCUUACUUGCAUGACGAGAUGACUCCAGAUGGAGUAAUUUCAAGUUCCACUAUUUUGGUUGGACAAAUGAUAGUGUUGCACCUGAGGAGGCUCUAUGUAAGGAUUGUAUCUUCUUGCCAUAUUCUGAAUAUUUAUACUCUUUGCUCCUUGAUUGUGGCUUAAUUGUCGUGAUUCUGAUGUUCUCCAACACACUUGCAGUCUUCAAUAAGUAUUCAACAAAGUCAAAUUCAUUCUCAGUGCAUUUAAGGUAAUGAAUCUCCACUGAUCUCAGUUUCUGAAACACAGAGUUAGGAGCCAACAACUUGUCCCAAUCACCCUUGUUUGUUGGUCCGUACGUUUCCUAUUAACAAAAAAAAUGGAUGUUAGAACGAUCCUUGAUGUGCUUCUAAACAGUAGAUUUAGAAAAUAACAAGGAAAAAUAAACAAACACAUGUGAGUAGGAUAUUGACCAAUAAUGGUUAUUUUCUUGUACAAAAUAAUGGGUUUUGAUGAUGCAUGAAAGGGCUGUUAAAUGAACCGAGCAGCUCGGGCUCGGCUCGAUGUUCGGCUCAUCUUUAGCUCAUUCGAGCUCGUUCGAAUUGCUAAACGAACCAAGCUUGAACAUAUUUUAAAGCUCGGGUGUAAUUUAAUCAAGCUCGAGCUCGGCUCGAGCAAGAUCGAAUGUAUGAAUUUCUUAUAUAAAUUAAUUAUAUAAUUAUUAUUUCAAUCUAUAUUCAAGAGAUUUUUGUAAAAUUAAUUAAGUAUCGAGUAUAAAAUUGUGAAUAUAAUGAAUUUAUCAAGUAAAAUGAUUAUUUUUAAUUUUUAAAUAUUUUUUUUAAUUAAAAUUAUCAAAAUUUGAAACUUAUUUGGUUUCAUCCAAAGCUUGAAUUAAACUCAAGCUCGUUCAAUUAAAACUCGGCUCGAGUUCGCUACUAUUGAGGCUCGACUCGAGCUUGGCUCAAAUUUAUAUGAACCAAGCUUGAACAUGUAAAGCUCGAGCUCGUUCGGCUCGUUUAACAGCCCUAGGGCCAUCAACCCCGACCAGCACGCAUGACUCAUCCAGCCAUCCACCGAUUAAUAUUUUAUAUGCUUGCCUAUUUUAUUUUCUUUUUGUAAUAACAGAGGUAAACAGAACUGUUUCCUUCACUUGCAGAAAAUACUAAUAAGGUCCAAGUAGGAAGCAGACACUUGCAAGUAAACCCAGCUAUAAAUAAGGUUAUUGAGCAAUUGCAUUAUCAGCUUUUAAUGAAUGGAAUUUUAGUUCUUUUAAAUAGUUGUCCGGUGAGAAACCCAUGUCUUUGGGACGAACAUUCCAUUAUGAAGAAAGUAGUCAUGCAAAGAAAUUGACAUUGAUAACAUGCAACUAUUUAAAAGAUAUGAUAUCUUUAGCAGGUAAGCAGUUAGCUAGAACAUGCAAAUUUCUGCAUGCUAGAUGUUAUUUACAUUUUGAGGUAUCUCAAAAAGCUCCUGGUCGUAGGCUUGUAGUGUGAUAACUAGGAGAUUUACGUUUCAAUAUUAUAACUUUGUUGGUUCUAAUCUUGUCAGUUGUUACUUUGUGUAGGAGUGUAGGACGAAAGAGUGAGUCGCAGCCUAAGGUAGUGUUGAGGUUGCCAUCGCGGCAUGGCCAAUACUAUUAGUCUAUUACAGAUAUAUUCAGGGUUCAGUUCCCCGUCGUGAGUUUUGGAUUUCUUUUCCAUCAAAUAAAGGUGCUGUGUUACAGUGAUCAAUUUGACAUUUACGUUGCUAGUAAUUUGGUAGUUCCUAUUCUGAUGAAAAAGGUGAAGUCUGAAUCAAACACGCUGAUAUCUUCACCAAAACCUCGACUGGAUGUGUUUUUCCUUUGUCUUCCAACCUAAGCAUACUUGAUCUACACACUAGUUUGCAGAGGGUGUCAUACAUUUUAAUUUUUUAAUAUUGUAUAAGUUGGACCACUAGAUGCUUGCUCACAAGACUUUUUUAUUACAGUAAUAACAAACAAGCAGAAGAGAGUUUUCAGUUUGCCCUCUGACAUUUAUUCUUUUCUUAUUUCUUUUCUUGUUUUUGAUAACCUCUGACAUUUGUUCGUUGCCCUCUCGGACCAAGUCACUGACUAAGAUAUGUGCACGGUGUACAUGAAAUUAAGCAAACAAAGCAUACAUGUGAUAGAAGACAUAUCUUUAUGGCCAACUUAAUAGAAAAAUAGCAAACGAAUGGAAGACAGGAAGAUAGUUUAAUUCAUGAACUAUAUGUUUUAAGGAAUAAACAACAAACACACACACUCAAAUCCAGUUCAUUUACGAAAAACAAUCACCGAAGUGAAAAAACCACAAUAUCCACAACUCUUUAAUUACUGGAAAUUCAGGUGCAUUAAUUCAUUACAAAGGUAGUAUUACACACAAACCUCCAUAGCCUCAGCAAGACCAAAUUGCACUUGAAAACCAAAAGUAUUGUUUUCUGAAUACAUGUCAGGAUUAACCUACGAGGAAACAAAGCCAUGUUAAAUAGACACAAGAUAUAUAGAAUCCCAUUCUAAAAAAUCACCCAAAUUUCUAAUAAGCCCAUUUUUUAAUGAAGCUAAAGUCUGAAAGUAUAACACAACAAAAAUCAAUUGAAGUUAAACCACUUUUCUAAUAAAAGCUGGACAAAGAAACAAUUUAAUAAAGAGAGUUCAUAUUAUGUGAAUUGGCAGAAACAAACAAUCCACAAUAGAAUAACAAUUCAAGUUCACAAAGCCUUAAACAAUAAGAAAAGAAAAUCACAAAGAAAACCCUAAAAAUAAAAUAUUUCACACAGAGAAUCACACCUAAACCCUAAACCCUUAUUUAUAGAGUAGGGUUUCUUGCAGCCCAAUAAUCUUUAACAAGAAAGGAAAUUAAGCAUCAUUAAAACAUUACCGCAUGGCGCCAGGGGAGACUGGGAUAAAAGUAAACAAGAUUGAAAUAUUUUGGUCGUAGGUGUUCAUGACUUUUUCGGCUUGAUAAGGAUAUUAUUCAAUUAAUAAGAAAAAGUAGGGUGAGAUAACCGACUGAUAAUUACAUAGCAGAUCCAAGUGACAAAUCAACCAAAACAACAGCAGACUCAAUACAAUAAUUCCCCCCAUCUACAAACAUAUGCCCAAAUGGGCAAUGGAAUGCCUCUACACUCUCCCAAAAUAAUGAAAUCUUUGAAAAUAAUUCAACAUAAGAUAAAAUUUAUAUUGGAGAUUCUGGUUCAUACCACAGCUUUUUCCAUGACCAGUGUUUCGAUGGAAGAAAAAAUCUGAAACAAUUUUGCCAGGCCAUCAAUGUAAAGGUCGCUACGCCAUUACUUCACCUUCAAAUACAUUAAGUUUGGAAAAGAUUUCGGCAGUUGUUUCAACAUGUUUGGUAAUCCUCCAAAACCCUGACAAUCACAAGAGAUACCAUAACUUCAAAACCACACUUCUAACCAAUAUUCCUGCUUAAUUAGAUCAUGAAAAAUAAUCACAUUUAUGGAAUUUUGCAUAAAUAUACAACGACUUGCCUUCUGUUACAAGAUGGAGCCUUGCCAAGACCUAGGCAAAAAGAGCUUAUGCUCAACCAGACAAAAACCUAAAUAUUUUCCAUCUCUUUCUCAUGCACUCAAGGUUGCUAGGCGAGUAGGCGGUACCAAAUUAAUUUAUAUACUAAAUUAAGUAAAACAGUUGAAUAGACUUUACAAUUAGCACACAAUUUACUGAGUAUGCAAUGUGGAAAGAAAAAGUUACAUUCGUCCAUCUCUCAUUAGUCAAAGAGAAAGAACUCCAGAUAAGAUAACUUUCUUUAACCUAAAGGCUAAAGUCCAGAAAAUAGAUUCCACUGGUUAUCAAGGAUGGUCUUUCUCCUAUUUUUCUGCCUUUACUGUUAUUCUAUCUCUUUUGUGUGUUGAAAUCUUAAUUGCUUGACAUAAAGAGGAAAAGGUCUGUCUUAUACAAUCACAUAGUCUGGAUGGAGAUUAGGGUACAAGAACCUGACUCUGCUUACAGAGAUUUUCAUUAUGUAUACACUAUACACACUAAAGAAAACCUCGAUACUGAAUCUACAAACAAGUUUCUCUCUUGUCCACCAAGCAGAAUCUCAAUUUUCAAUCUGCAAACAGAAGGAUAUAUUUGCAUACCUUUUUGUUUUUUAAUCCUCUUUAAGUUAUUAGAAGUUAUUGGAUUAUAAGCUACCUUCUUAAUUGGUACUUAAAGACUUCUUCAUGAUGAAGUCAUUCAACUCCUACUUCCCAAACAACCUCUGAGAGUUAUAAAAAAUCCUAGAAAUUUCUUACUUAAUCUUCUCUUAAAAAAAAGCCUAGCUCACUAUUAAAUUCUCAAAAAUACAUUGCCCCUAACAGAAAAUAAAUUUAAAAGAAUUCAAAGAAAAUAAAUUUGAAUCAAUAGGUAGGGAGCACGAGAGCAGAUUUUGAGAGGUAAGUAAUUCAUUUCAGUAGGUAGUUUACUGCUUAAUAAAACAAUAAACACUUCAUUUUCAAUACAACAAAGGAAAUAGGAUCCCUAAAAACACAACAUAGAGCAUGUUUUUCUGAUUUGAUAAAAACGAUUGUGACACACACAUAUAAUAAAAUAAAAAACCAAUGGCUCUUUAACAUUCAUAUUAAAAAAUGUUGUGGCAUCUGAUGUUAUAUGGCCGAUAAGAUUGUCUGGGUCAUUGCCAGGAUCAUGAACCUAAACGAACAGUUACUACAAUGCCAUAAACAUCCCUGUACUUGGAUUCUACAAGGAAAUAUAAUUUCUUUAUGAUCACCACCUUGGUUAUCACACCAACAUUUCCAUGACAUGCUUAAUGGCCACAACAUAAGCUGAACUAGAUUGUCAUUGAUGAUGUAUAAAGCAAGUCAUACUAGUUGACCUCACACAAAGUUCAGAUUAGUUACAAAACGUGAAUUCUCAAAAGAAUGGAACAUAACCAUACCUGAAUACCUUCUAGUGAGAACGUUAGUGAUUUUGCAUGAAUAAGUCCUCUCAGAAUGUUCUUCAAACAUGUACCACGCACUUCUUUAAUUUCCUCACGGCAUAAACUAUCCGUGUCAAUGUGGGCAGUUUCUAAGGAAGAAAGGUUCUCCAAAUCGUAGUUUUUAUACAUGAAACCUAAGCACCCCAGAAACUUGAGAUUGGGGGCACAUAUCUUAAUCUCACAAGAACCAAUAUCACUAUGCUCAGAACCCAUUUCACAUUUCACCAUCAAGUACUUAAGUCGAGGAGAUGAUAUUAAAAGCUUGUUGAGACAAUCAUGAAAGCAGUUUUCCAAAAUCAGAUUUUCCAAAACUGGGCCACACCAAGAUCCUUCCAUUUCUUCCGAAAGUCUGACAAAUUUCAAUUCCAAAGUCUUUAGAUUGGUAGACAAAGAAAACGAUGAUACUGGUGGCAUAAACAACUCUUCAAGAUGAAGAUGUUCAACAUUUCGCCGGACAGCAGAGUUCACCCAUGCAUGUAUCCGGUAAGUAACAGUAUCAUAAGAUGGACACAUUAGAUGAAACUUGUUUAUAUCAUUGCCAUCACGUGGAAGCAGGACUCUGUUGACAAAAUUCUGAAAUUCGUCUUCCUUCAAUAUACCUAAUUCAUCUCGCCAAAACUUAUCAUUAAUGCUUAUAGUUGGAACGGAAACCCAAAAUUUUCUCCAUUUUGUUGAAAGAACACAAGUCUGAACUGCUUGCUUCAUGUCAAGGAAUGAGAAGAUGUGAUGGAUUAUAUCUUCGGGCAUUGAACUAAUCCUAUCUACAUAAUGCUUCUCGCUCUCUUCUUUUUUUAUCUCUUCCUUUCUUAUCACUGGUUGUUGUUGCUUCUCUUUCUUUUUCUCGCUUACAUUUUUUUUCAGCAGAAAUCCCUUCUUCAUUAUGAAUCCACACAAAAACUAGCACCCUGCAAACACAUCAUGAGAUCAGAAAUUUGACUAUAAAGCGAAUGAAAUAAAUUGAUCAUCAGUUUUAUUGCUAAAUUGUUUUUUUUUCUGAUUGCUCAACAUUUGGUAGCAAAUCCAACCCCAAGCCCAAGGUUCAAACCUCAGGAGGGGGCGACAAUACAUAUAGGUUUCAUAAAAAUGGUUUGGUACUAUGUAGGGGCAUAUUGCUACAUUUGUUGGUACUAAAAAGGACUAUCAUCGGUGGUUCAACGAGGCAAUGGCUUCAUAUUAGGUUAAAUUAAAAUGGGUUGGUUACUUAAC
This 50427-nucleotide long non-coding RNA is filed under the name Aquilegia coerulea. RNAcentral's name for it is "long non-coding RNA (ACOE_LNC000294)". The stretch from base 34471 to 34545 matches the Rfam family "tRNA". The record is from RNAcentral. Lineage: Eukaryota; Viridiplantae; Streptophyta; Magnoliopsida; Ranunculales; Ranunculaceae.